RNAcentral lists this long non-coding RNA (62757 nucleotides) under Oryza sativa (Asian cultivated rice). RNAcentral describes it as "long non-coding RNA (OSAT_LNC000396)". The record is from RNAcentral. Lineage: Eukaryota; Viridiplantae; Streptophyta; Magnoliopsida; Poales; Poaceae.
UUUUUUUUUUUGGUGGAGAACUUGCAGUACUGUACUACUGCUGCUGCUGCUAUAUUCUAACAGGAAGCGCAGUUGGUUCACCAACCUAAAAAGAAAUAAAAACCAUGAACCAGUAUGACCAAAUCACGCAGCGACAGGUGUGUCGCUUCUAGAUUUAUGCUCUGAAGUAGCGCAGUGGAAAGGGGAUUAUCUUAGCAUAUCCCUUCGCUUUUGUUUAAGUGUGUCGCGUAUCUUUGGACAUCUCUCCUUCCUUCUUGAUAGAAUGAUAGGCUCCUGAAUUCUAUUCUCACCUGUCGAUUGCGGUCUAAAACUAAACUAAUGAAAACGCAUCAGGUGCCGGGAUCGAUGCAUGAAUAUUAAUCAAGGGACAUUUUUGUUUUGUAACAUUUGUGUAGUGUGUCCGGUGCUGCUCCACGUGUUUGUAUGCAGAUGUGUACGUGCAAGCUCAGAUCGAUUGAUCGAUCAGUCGUUGUUAAAUUAAUCGUGAUGAUUGAGAGAUGAAGCUGACCAUGUACGUGUGUGGAAUAUCUGGGGAUGAUUCCCUACUAGAAAUUAGAAGAAAUCAAGUCUCCUAGUUAAUUAUCCAAUCCUACAGUUUCACACUCGGGUUCGUCAGUGGGGUUGGUGCAAAGUGCCUAGUUAACCAUUUGACGCAAGGUGUAAAAUACUCCUACAUAGCGAGACCAAAUGCAGUAUUAUAUACUCCCUCCGUUUCAAAAUGUUUGACACCGUUGACUUUUUAGCACAUGUUUAACCGUUCGUCUUAUUUAAAAAAAAUUGUGAAAUAUGUAAAACCAUAUGUGUACACAAAAGUAUAUUUAACAAUGAAUCAAAUAAUAUGAAAAUAAUAAAUAAUUACUUAAAUUUUUUUGAAUAAGACGAAUGGUUAAACACAUACUAAAAAGUCAACGGUGUCAAACAUUUUGAAACGGAGGGAGUAUAUGUCACUACUCCUACUUUUUAGUGGUUAAUGAAACCUAAUAUAAACUCCUUGGACUCUUAAAAGAAUUCAGAAGUUAACCUCAAACCAUAUCCAACUUUAAUUUGGUUUGGGGUAUCAUGUGUACGUAUAUUGUUGGGAUGUCGAGAUCAGCCUCAGGCUCUACAAGACGAACUAAAUUCCUUAAAUAUUCUUUUUCGUACUCUUUGUGGCGAUCGCAAGUGGCUGAAAUUAAAAUUGUGGACAAUCUUUAAUUCGUACUAGCACUGAUUAAUUGCUCUAUCAGUAAUAGAUCUUGACGAUCUUGGCAGACGGUUACAUGGUUAAUAUUGGCAUCUGGUCUAAAUAUAUAUAUAUUGGCAUCUAGCUAUGCAUUGAACAUAGUCGGGAUACGUCACGGAAAAAGUACGUGUAUAUAGCUCUCAGCAUGCAGGCGACGAAUAUAGGCAGAUAUAGAAGAUUGAUGUUGCUUCAGGGUUCAGACAAAACCUGGAGAUACCUGAUCCCAAGAAAAUUAUAGAAAAAGAUUAUACAAUAUCAAAUCUAAAGCCGGAAAAAAGAAAGAGAGAAAACGAAUGGGGUUGAUGAAGUGCUUGUCAUGCAUUUGCCAUUCCUCUACUAGAUGAUUUUGCCAGGAGUAGAAGACAUGUUACACGAAAUUUGAAAAAUGGAAGAAAUUUAAGAUAAAGUAUGAUUCUAAUAUGAUUCGCGUGUAGAUCCAAUUUAGACAUGUCAUAAAGGCUGAUGGAAUUUGUGUUUUAGAAUUUGGGAGAGCGAGAGCCGAACCAAGAGGUGAUCAAAAGAUUUUUUUUAAUUUUUAUAUUUACUUUUUAAAAGAUUUUAAGAAUAAUUUCUCAUUUCAGAAUUUUACAGAAAUAUACUCCUCACGUCCUAUCAUAGGGCGGUGCUUAUAAAUCGCUCUACGGUAUAGCGAUCUAUGGGAUGUGGCACCCCGCGCUUGGGGCGUGCUGUGGCAAUUUUGCAGGGCGUGCCACAUCAUAUAGAUCGCUAUCAAAGGGUGGGAGGAGUAUAUUUUUGUAAAAAUUUGAAACUGCAAUUUAUUUUUGUAAAUCUUUUUAAAAAUAAAAUAAAUUCUCUUAAAUAAAGGGUCAAGGAUUUGAGGCGAAGCGCACAAAAAUGCAUAUUGCAGGAUGGACCAUAGACUAUACGGCCCAUUGGGACGUCAAAUUGAUUAAAGGCCCAUGUCAUAUGGGCAUAUGGUGAAGGCCCAUUAGGUACCUCAAGUUGGGAAAGGGCCCAGGUUGUAUGGGCGGGUGAGGGUACGAUCAAGUCUGGGGAAAAAGCGGAAAAAAAAAGGACCCGGAUAAUGGAUCGGGGGUUUGAACCCGACGUGAAUCGAACACGCAACCUUCUGAUCUGGAGUCAGACGCGCUACCAUUGCGCCACGGAUCCGGUCAUUGAACAAUCGUCAACGUUCCACAAUUUAGCUGGUAAUAUUACACCAGCUCUAGCAUAUCACCUCCAUCAGUUGGCACGAGCACAUACAAACGCACCGUACGAUCGACGGACCGACACAUCAGUACGCGCGCGGUGCCUUCAACGCGGGCGGAAAACGAGCCUCGCGCGCGGCCGGCCAUGGCCACACGGCUACCCCUCCUCCGCCAUCGCCACCGCGCGCGUGUCGUUUCCUUCGUCGUCAGCUAGUAGCUGCCUACCCGGCUGCAUGCACUACGCGCGCGGUACGUACAGAUUGCGGUACGUCUCUUUCCCCGUAUUGAUUGAAACCAUGUGUCCCUGUCGUUGCAUAUGCCCCUGAUCCAUCCAGCCGGUGGUUGCGCCGUCUCCUCGCCCGCCCGCCCGCUCACAAACGCGCAAGUCUCAAAAGCCGAGAGCGCGGCACCACCGCAGCAUAUGCAGCGCCGCCGUCUGCUGUCCGAAAUUGGAUUCCCUGGUUGCUGCUGCUGACUGCUGAGCCAUCUCAGAGGUUGGCAGAGCCUCACUCCUGCAGGCUGCAGCCUGCAGAGUACGUGGUCAGUGCUGUACUCUGGAUUAAUCUUUUUGCCUCUUCGGCUAGCUAAUUUACAGUUUACAGAUGCUGAGAUGAUGCUGGCUGGCCAUGGUAAUAUAAUAGGCGUACCUCGCCAAGACCAUGUGGCAUGUCCGAAAGCAGGAUGACUAAUUAAUUAAGUACUAACGUGUGAGAAUUAAGAAACGACCUCUCACAUGCAAGAUUAUGAGAAAAGGAAGACUUAAGUUUACUGUUACUGUACGUGUGUACCAACUCCCGAUUGAGAUAUGUGAUGGAUUGGUCAAAAGACUGACUGUCUGUUUUUCACAGCACUGCGACCAGUAAGAGAUACACACAGUAUAUAUACGUACUAGUACUACGGAAGCCAUGUUCAGAUGCCAUCAGGAGGAGGGCAAGAACAGAACGGUGUUCCUGCAAAGUUUAUCCUUGGACCGCUCUUUGGCGUUAUAAAUUGAGAUCAUGCGUGCUCAUUUAAGCGGCUACUGGUGUACUACAUGGCGUGGCGCUGUCCGCAUGUGCAGCCAUACAGCGCUAAAAAGGAUCCCAGUUUCUCCCCUACGAUAAGAAGCAUUUUUCCUGUUUACCACUGUGAUUCCUUUCUGCUAUAAAUGUGUGUUUUGCUAGUCCACGCCAAAGAAAAACAUUGAGCAUUGACCGUGUCAGUGGGUCGUCCAGCCGAGUAGGAGCACUACUUUUUUUUACUGCGUGCGCUUCUUCUCUUCAGAUUAAACUCUGCAGGAGCAGGAGGACAGUCACAUUUGUUCUGAAUAUCAUCAAUGCUGUCCUCCUCUUCAUCAUCACACUGUUUUACGCUAAUUAUUCUUCUUCACGCUUGGAACAGAAAAAGACACUGUAUUCCCCGGGUCGUAACAAAUAUCACAAAACAGUAGCCUGUAACACUGUCUCUCAAGGGUUCAGGGUAAUUAGCCUGUAACCGCGUGUGAUUCUCUCGCUGAUCAACCUACAGACACAUUGAAUUUCUGAGGGUCAUGCUUGCUGACUGUAGAAUAGUAGGAGUAGUAGUGAACUAGUGAUAUACCGUACGUCAGCGCGCGCGUAGGUACUACUACUAGUACGUGCGUAGAGCCUACUGCGAUCGAGUAUCCGAGGGAUGUCGGACGGCAGGUCGCGUCGUUCAUCCGCAACGGCGAAUUCAGCUCGAUCGGUGCAGAAUUUGCCCAGGUUUCCGUAGCUAAGGUGGCAGUCUACUACAGUAUUUAUGGUCAAGGCAUCCAGUGAUGUUAUAUACACCAUGUGGAAUUGUGGAUCUGAUAUAAGCCGUGGAGCAUUUCAUGGAAAUGAAUUUAGCAUCCAAUGUAUUGCUCUCAUUCAAACUUUGACCGUUUCAAUUUUGGGAAUAAAUUUGUAAAUGUUUUAAUAUAUAGGGUACUGUUGGAGUAUGUUGUAUGUUAAGUAGUAGUAUAACCAUACGACUCCGUUCAUCGACUUACGCUAAUUUCAAAGUAAUGAUAGUCGAAACUGCAGCAGUACUAAUCGACAUUGACAGAAAUGGACUCAUCACUCGAGCAGACGUCCAUUAAUUUUUUUUAUUCAUUUAAAUAAUUAUAAAAAAAUAAAAAAAAUUAACAAAGAUAUGAUAUAUAACUCCAUAAACAUAUAAGAUUAAAUUUGACUUCUACGAGUUGUAAACAAAAAAAUAAAUUAAACUGAAACCAGUUAACGUAAAUUCACAUUUGUAUUUAAUAUUUGUGUUACAAUUUGCAAAAAUCAAAUUUUAAUUUGCAUAUUUUUUUGCGGGGAUUUUAAUUUUAAUUUGCAUAUUUGCAAAGCGAUAUAUCUCAUAUUAAUAUGUCUUGUUACUUUUUUUGUUUGUAAUAAUUAUUUAGAUGAUAUGUAAGAAAUGAGGGAUAUCCUCCUGAGAGAGAACUAUUUUCCCGACAUUGACAAGUAUUUAUGAAUGGAGAUAGUAAGUAGACACAGUUAAAACGUGCUCUUGGAAGCAAUGCUGGUUGCAGUGGCAAGUGAUGAGCAGAUUCACAAUGUGCUCCUCCUCGUAGGCAGCAUAGCAACAGGGAUACGUAUCGCCGUUUUCUUUUUUUCUUUUCGGUUGGUAGAAUUCGAAAGGGAAGGGCGAAAAAACCUUGUCUUUCAUGUUUGGAAAUCCGAAGUUUAAGAUGAGCCAAGACAUAAUUCCUUGAGAUGCACAUGCGGCUGUGCGUGAAUCGGUUUACAUGGGGUGGUCCUGCAACAAAUGGACACGGAACCCCAGUGGCCAGUGUUCCUGGCUAAACUUCCUAUACCAUCAGAUGCAGGUGCAGAACUGCAGAUAGACAAAAUUUAUUUACAGCGCGGUGCGUUUUCAUUUCUGUCCUUAUUUCAAACAAAAGAGGAGGCAGUUUUGUUUGAGUACGUAUGACGCCAGAGUCUUUUCAAAAUUUGGAAAGACCGAAACUGCAACCCUUGAAUGGGAUUGGCCCGAACCCGAUGAGUAAAACGGGUUGCCGAAAAUGUCCAGCGAGUCAAUUGCCAAGUGAGACGGAACAGAGUCUUUUUCACCUGCAGGCAGCAAAGGGGGCGUUGAUUCCACGCACCGCCAUAACUCCUGGCCAGAACAGAGGGCAUGCCGUACGCCAGCCAGUGCUGGGCCAGACCAGUAACAUGUCAUGACGCGUCUCUUGUUCAUGGCACGGUAAACCGGCCAUCGCCAACACCCCCAAAAAAAUGUGGCAGCUAUCCGACGAGAUCGAUAAAACAUGGCCGUGUGACCGAUCGCAUUAACAUACACAAAAGCCUGUCGUGUGUUGGAUUCCGGUGACUGCACCUUGCGUUUACAGCACAGUGGCGCACGCACGAUCGAUCGAAAUGACGGGGAGAUUACGCGCGGCCACCGAGCAAAUCGGCGGAAACAUAUGGAGGGGAGCACCGAAAAUUCAGCGGUGCAGCGCGCACGACGAGAGGCGGCACACGCAGCGGUAGCUCGACCGAGAAAGAAAGAAAGAAAAACUCGAUCGCCUUGUGUUACUUCCACCGCACGGGCGACUGGAUUGAUCUGGACGGCAGAGAUGGGUCGUGCCGGGACUGGAACGAAGAGCGGAAUACCGACCCUGCCCUCGCGUCGUACCUGCUGACGUGUGGGGCCGCCCUCGCGGUCUCACUGAAUUCCACCCCAAGAAGAAGAUUCUGAACAUACGAUCGACUGGCUGAGUGUUACAGCGUCGCGUCGGGGCCUAUAUAUUUAUGCCGCUGUGUGGACUGGACGUCUGGACCUUGGCCACCCAACCACUGCACCGGGGGGCACUACUGCACUCGAUCGAUCAGUGGAAAGAAGAGCUCUCGGCUCUCGCGGAGUGGAGGACUUGGAGUGGUUGAUUGAUCGAUCGGAGCGGAUGGGGCGGUCGCCGUGCUGCGAGAAGGAGGCCGGGCUGAAGAAGGGGCCGUGGACGCCGGAGGAGGACCAGAAGCUGCUCGCCUACAUCGAGCAGCACGGCCACGGCUGCUGGCGCUCGCUGCCCACCAAGGCCGGUACGUGCGUGCCAUGCGAUCUCGGUUUUCGGCCUCUGAUAACUAGCUAAAUCGCCUGAUCGAUCCGCCAAUUGCUCACUGGUGUGGUUUUUUGGGGGAAUGCGUGUGUUGACGCAUAAUUCAGGGCUGCGGCGGUGCGGCAAGAGCUGCCGGCUCCGGUGGACGAACUACCUUCGGCCGGACAUCAAGAGGGGCAAGUUCACGCUGCAGGAGGAGCAGACCAUCAUCCAGCUCCACGCGCUCCUCGGAAACAGGUGAUCAUCGCCUCGUGCUGUGCAGGUGUACGCAGCACUUCUGCAGGAAUCAUAUGCUUUAUUUUCGACAUUCUUUUCGCCCUCUACACUAAGAAAUUAUUCUAAACUCUCCUGGGAUACUCUUCGUUGUUAUAUGACAUCUAAAUGGUUAUAAAAAAAUUAACAAGAUAUAUUAAUAUGUGAUAAAUUACUCCAUAAAUAUAUAAGGUCAAAUUUAACUUUUCCAAGUUGCAUGAAAAAAACAAAUUUGACUAUGAAUAUAUGUUAACUAGUUAUAGUUUAAUUUGUUUUUUUAACCUGUAAAAAUUAAAUUUUAACUUACAUAUUUAUGGAGUUUUCUAUUACAUAUUAAUCUAUCUAGUUAAUAUUUUUAAUUUUUUUAUAACUAUUUAGAUGACAUACAAAUAACGAGGAGAUAUUCUCUCGAGAGUAGAAUCUGCUCUCCCUCUGCACUGCAGUGCUCUGCACCGCACAGCCUCUCCCCACUUUGACGACCAUGCAACACAGUACACGUAGUACCGACUGUCACCGAAGCCAGAUGGAUGUAGAGUACAGUACGUGAGAUAAGAGUGAAAAAAUACUGGAGUCCAUCUACCGGGUCCUUUUUUUGGUUUCACCUUAGUCACGUUUACAAUUAAAGCCCUUGAGCCCCCGCUGGCUUCGCUGUGCCUCACCAUGCGUGUCAGGGCUAGUGGACCAUUUGUCACCGCCUUUUGCCCUGUCCAUCUCCAUGUUGACUUGCCUAUCUCCGCCUCCACAAUUCACUGCACGCACCACACACACCUCCAAUCAUUUAGGCAUUCUAUAGGAGUAGUAGAUUCAGGUGGUAAAAGAGAAUUUGCAGUUGCAACAAUGCAGGAAAAAAAAUAAAAGGUAACUGACACUCAGACGCACGUACACAGGUGGUCGGCGAUCGCGACGCACCUGCCGAAGCGGACGGACAACGAGAUCAAGAACUACUGGAACACGCACCUGAAGAAGAGGCUCGCCAGGAUGGGCAUCGACCCGGUCACGCACAAGCCCCGCGUCGACGCCGACGCCGACGUCGCCGCCGGCGGCGGCGCGGCGGGCGGCGGCGCGCGUUCCAGGGCCGCGGCGCACCUCAGCCACACGGCGCAGUGGGAGAGCGCGCGGCUCGAGGCCGAGGCGCGCCUGGCGCGGGAGGCCAAGCUGCGGGCGCUCGCCUCGCCGCCGCCGGCAACGGCCGCGCUAAGCGGGGUCGACUCGCCGACGUCGACUCUCAGCUUCUCGGAGAGCGCAUUGUUCGGCGCAGGCAGUGCGGCCCCCGACAUACACGGCGCCGCGCGCGCCGCCGCCGUUCAGGCCGUGCAGUCAUCAUACGGGGAGGCGUGCCAGGAGCACCACUUCGGCGGCGCCACCGCCGAGACGAGCUUUGCCGGAGCCGGGACGCUGGCCGGUGUCCUUCUUGACUGCUCCGUCACCGGCGCCGACCAGAGAUUCGCGGAGAGGACCGAGGCCUGCUCCGGCGAGCUGCAGGGGGAGGACGACGACGACAAGGGCUACUGGAACAGCAUACUGAACAUGGUCAACUCGUCCAUGUCGUCGUCUUCCUCGUCGUUGACUUCCGAGGUGGUCACGGACACCGAGAUGUUCCUGCCGGCGACGGCAGCGGCGGCGGCGUCGGCGACGCCGGUAGAGUUCUGAACGCUGAGAGGAGCCUAGCCCACACGCUCGCGGCUCGCAGCCUCGCACUCAAAACAUUGAUUAGUCUGUGGGCUGUGGCUGUCGUGCAAGUGGCUAGUACUAAUAUUAAUUCGUUAUUAAUUAGCGUGUUAGGUUAAUCUCGCCGUGUUUUGGUUAAUUUCAUCUCGCUGUGCAAUAAGCAUGUACUGAUUUUGGUUUGUUUCUGUUGUCUCGUCUGAUGUAAUGUGUGUUGAGCAAAGAAUAGUAUCAACGGUUGAACUAUCACAUAUAGUACUGCUGCAUCUUGAAUUCUCCGGACUUCAAUUUAACGGGAAGCACAGCGGAAAAUAUUUUCACUGAACUUAAUGUUUUACUACUCCCAGUUAAUAAUUAUACAACUUUUAAUUCCAGACAAUGCGUGUCUCAUCGCCUACUUGAUUAAAAUCGUGAAAAAAAAAUAUCGGCCCAAACAAAGCAAAUCAAAUUUUGUGAUCCAUUUCUAAAGCCCAAUUUUCAUUCACCUUUGCUAUUCAUUGGUCGUCUGAAAUUGGAAGAGCCUUAGGGCAUCUCCUGUGGAAAAAUCGAUUCAACUGACAUACAUCAGUUUUGGAUUUUUGAUUGAAUGCCUCAGUGUGGUGGGUCUCACAUGGAUUAGCCUAUGGCCCCAGGAACGAAAUGGUGUUUUAUUCAACUUGAUUCGUUCGAUUUCAAGCUCUCACAAGUUGAUUUGAUUGCCACAACGUGUAUAAUCAAUUAUCUUCUACGUGGUUGGAUUUAUAGCACACAAUGAAUAUGGCCUUAGGACUGAUGCCAUAAAAACUGAUCUGCUAGAUUUUACUGGAUUAGGGGUACAGGUGUAGUGGCCGGUGGGAGGGGAAGGGUGAUUUUAUAAGAAUGGCCAAGGUAGUGGAAGAUCAUUUAGACAAGCGAACAAUGAUGCAUUAGAACCGUGAGGAUGAAAGAGGAUGAUUGGCAGAUUUAGUGACAUCAGGACUAGAGUGGUGGAAUUGUACCGACACUGAUGUAGAGGCAUAGCGGCGGUGACAAAAGAGGAGGAUGAGGGGGGAAAUGCCGGAUGGCAGUAUUUGCGCAUGGGGAUUGUAGAGAGAAGCGACUAGGUUGUAGGGAUUGCACAAAUCCCGCUACAGUGUUGUCUACUGGUAAUAGAAAAAGAAUAUAAACUACUGAUCCUUUUCUAUCAAGAAAUCAGAUUAAGAAGCUAUGAACCGACAUGCAAAAAAAGAGUAAAAUUCCCCCCCCCCCCACACUAUCUUAAUCUCUUUGUUUAUCCACACAGCGAAAAACCAAGAACAGGGACAACUCUAUCAAGCACCUAUAUAUAUAUAUAUAUAUAUAUAUAUAUAUAUAUAUAUAUAGCUAUCCUGCAUUCCUAUUAGAGAGAAUCUAUUCUAUAUCACUGAGUUUGUUCGAGUUCAACAAUUUGUCAUUGACAUUGUUUUUUUUCUAUAAUAUACCGACGACUUUAUCAAUUGUUCUACAAUACGCUAUUGGGUUGGGCCUUUUUUUUCAAAAAUACCUAAAAUAUCCUUAGAGACAUACAAGAUUAACAAUUGAUUUAUCUCAUUAGAAGUUUCAAAAAAAUAUGAAAAGUUUUAUGUGGCCUUGUUACACAACAUGGAAGUUUGUAUAAUGUUUCAAGUUUUUUCUGGUAUAUUUAGUUUUUAGAAAAAAAAUAUUUUUAUGUGGUAUAUGAGAGAAAAUUUGUUUAUAUAAGAGAUAAUAGCACAAAAAUAUCUUAUGUAGUGUAUGAAAGAUGAUUUAUAUUAAAAACAUCAAUAAAAAAGUAUUUUAUAUAGCAUAUAACAAAUAAGUUAUAUAUUCUGUAAAAGAUAUAAAUGUAAAAAACUUGAAACUUCUAUACAAACUUUCAUGUUGUGUAAGGAGAUCAUAUAAAAAUUUUCAUUUUUUUUGAAACUUCUAAUAGAAUAAAUCAACUGUUAACCUUAUAUGUCUAUAAGGGUAUUUUGGGUAUUUUUGAAAAUAAUGUCCAUCCCAAUGGUAUAUUGCAGAACGUACAAUUGAUAAAGUCGUAGGUAUUUUACAGAAGGAGACAAUAUCGAUGGCAAAUCGUUGAACUCGAAUAAACUCAGUGGUAUAGAAUAAAUUCUCUCUUCCUAUUAUGUAGCAAUCUUAUAUUGUUAUCCUCAUUCAGGAAUCGGUGUCACAGGAGAAGGCAGCUCAUCUACACGAAACUUUGUUGUAAGAAAAGAGCUAAUUCUUGAUGGACUUACUACAUGGGAUUUCUCUGAUAAGUCUUAUGGGGUUAAUAAAAAGAGAUUUAUAGAGUAUUUAUUCCAUAUCUGUCGUUAUCAUGUGAAAUUAUUUUCUCUUCAUCUCGUUCAAUUUCCUUCAAACCGAACAAGGUUAUAAGAUUGUGAACCCAGCUCGAUUGAACAUUAAUUUGAACCCCUUCUGUAGGCUAUACCUGUACCUACUUGGCUACUGCAUGUCUACAUCUACAUGUCCAUGCACAGUGUCUCUGGCUUUUCGCACAUUAACGAUGAACCGGUCGCCGGUCGGUGAUCUGUAUGUAGUGCCUGAUCACUAGCUAGACAAGCAGAUAGUAAGUCGAUCGAUCGGCUUGCACAUCAACGUCGUAAAAGACCACGAAAAAAAUAACGUGCUGUUGGGCGUAUGAUGGUCGCGAGUUUUUCCGGCUUUCAAGGUGUGUUUAUACGUCUAACAAGGAGGUGCGGCCAACGAACCGCGUAAUUGCGUAAACUUAACAUUACGGCCGGCGUUAAUUACUUGGUGCAACUUCGUCUUCUCCUUUUGGUUCUUUCUUAGCUGACAGAAGCAACGCGUUACUGAUCAACUUAAUUAAUUCCUCGUUUGUUUCUAAACUAGAAUCAGAUUCAGUUCGGUCCUUCAUUACGCUGAUAAAAAUGACACCCUCUAAUUCCUCUAAGAAAACGAAAAACUGACAUAAAUCUUGAACCAGGCCCAGCUAAUAUCCAUCACCUUGUGAACUCAAAGUAGUACAAGUACAGUGGUAGUGGACGACUAGUACUCGGGCAAGAAAUUGGGCCCAAAUUACACGAAGCCCAUAAACAAAUUGGCCUUCUCGAGUUGCACUCCAAACCCGGCCUAACUGAACACGCACAGCACAUCAGCCCAAGCCCACUUAGAAGAGAAAGGCCCAGUUAAAUGCUCUGGUCGUCUUUUUGCCCCCAUUUUCGCGAUCAAUGAUUUCUUUUCUCCCUCUCCUCUUCUCUGUAUCUCUCUAUUACAUGGAAGAUGUACAAGCAUGCAUACUAUGUGUACAUGCACCGUGACUCAUGUAAGCGUACCUGUAUGUGAGGAUUCUGGAUAUAAAUACUGAUGAUAGAAUUCCAUCACCAUACUCCAAUACUUCAGUUUUUCCAUACUCUAAUGACAGGUUUUCCAUAUGUCUCUCAGGGUUUUUAUGAGAUCAUGGAGACCGGCACAUCAUUAAAUUAGUAGUUUGAAUAUCGAAUACAUUUUCCUAAAAAAUGAACAAAAUUGGAAGAAAAUUGAAUUAGUAACAAAACACCUGAAAUUAGUAAUGCGUACCCAUACCAGCAUCCAAGGAAAUGCCAAUAUUUAAAUUGAGUCAGAAAGAUAUAUAUAAUGAAAUUAGUGAUGCGUGCGUACCCAUACCAGCACCGAAGGAAAUGUUAUAUUUAAAUGGCUUCGGUACGGAGUAUCUUUUUGAAUCACGGGAAAUAUUUGCACUUACUUCCCUUUCCCCAAUAGAAAAGGCAUCUACUGGUCAUAAAAAUUCGCUCCAACUGAUAGCCUCUUCUCUCUUUUCUAAUUGCUGCCUAGUACAUUGUUGACAUGGUCUCAAAGUACAUAUGUGAUCAUUGUUUUUUUUUCUAAUUAUAUUUAUAAAUAUAUUUUAAAAUAUAAAUAAAUGUGAUUAACAUGUGAAAUCUUAAUAUUUUAUAUAAUAGUGAUUUUUUGCAAGCUAGUGAUUUAUAUUUGAGUGCCCUCAAUUUCAAAACUAAACACCGGCGGUGUGGUGGAGCCGUGGGUGCAUGACUCCGCCUAUCAAGAUUUAAAUUUUGGUGCCAACGAAUAUUUACGCACAUGCAAGUGGACUUAUAUACGAAUUUAGUGAGACUAGGGAUGCCGCUGGUUUCCAUCUCUUUAAGCGUGUGAUAGGGAGCAUUUGCGGGUGUGUGAUUAUGAUGUAGCGUGUGCAGUGGUGUGCACGAGUGUGCUUCUACUGAGUAAUCACAAAAAUAAAAAAAAUACUACAAUUCUAAAAUUGAAAUUUAUCCUAAAUUAAAUGUAAUCUUAGAGUAUCAUUUUCUCUCCAACCAUCUCUCCUUCAAAUUCCUUUCUAUCUUACCCAAAUACUCUUCUAAUCAAGGUAAUAAAUACCGUAUAAUUGUCUGGUAGCAGAUUGUGGAUAAUGGGUGCUAAGUUCCAAUAGCAGAAUUAUAAAAAACAACUAUAAAUUUAGAUUGUACAUCAAUAUCAACAUCAAGUUCAACUGAAGAUUUAGAAUUUAGAUUGCACACUUAAUUACUCCUAUACUCCUAUUUCAUAACAUAAACAAAUAUAUGAAAUACAUAUAAAUAUAUAAGAUAAAGAAGGCACACGAUGCUAAGUCAUAUACUAUCCCUAAAUAUAUAAAAACAUCGUUCAAGCAUUAUAGCGGUACAAUAAAGUCAAUAGCGGGCUGCUAUUGCGAUCGUGAAGCGUUAUAGUGGCCACUAAGUUCUAACACGCUAUCUUCGGUUCGCUAUCUUAUAGUGGUAGCGGUAGAGGGUCACUACCACUAUUAUGGUCACUACGAAUGCUAUUAUUACCUUGCUUCUAAUUUUAACCAUCCCUCGUUUAACGUCAGGUGUAACUAAUUUAGGAUGGAGCGAGUACACCAUUUAUUUAAGAUCAGCGGAGCUUCAAGUUAUUAAAAAAAAGAAAUAAAAAAGAGCGGAGCUGCACAUGGACUCUUCCAUCCUCCAAAGGCAAACUGACGAGUGACAGCAAAGAGGCGUGCAACUUCCUUAAAAAAGGGUGCAAGGCCUGCAACUGGUAAGUUCACAGGGAGUACUUACGUACGAGAGCGUGAAAGUGGAAACUGCCCCAUUUUAGUUGUUGCUUUUGCACUGCUCGAAUCCCCAGAAUCUUGCCCUUUUCGUCUCACUGAUGAUUGACACUUGUGAUCGCCAGGCAUUAGAUUAGUACUUUUGCUAAGCACGAUGACAACAGGAGAUCAGACUAAGUCCUGUUGGUCACUUUAUUUUUGAGGUGCUGAGUCAUAUCCUCGUUUGGCCAUUGGUCCUAGGGCAUCAUAUUGCUGCUUCUGCUGCCUCACAUGGGCUCCAGUAACCAAGAACUUUGUUUUGUUCAAGUUCCCAUGUGUACGUGGUUUGGUUUGAGUGCAGGCAGCUUGGAGAUGCAGCAUUGAGGAUUUCCCAAUCAAGAUCCUUUGUGUCAAGAAUAAGGAAAUUGCUGCUGUGUACUCCAAUAUUUCAUGAAGCAAUUUUAAUUAGGAUUAUAUGAGUAGCUAGGAUGCAUGGGAGAUAUUUGUUUUCCUGCAAAAACAGGUCCUACAAUAUUAAUUAUACAUUUGAAAUAGGCUAGCUUGCUCCUGCUUGCACCUGUAUAUUUUUUCCUUCAGAAAUGAAGGUCUAUUAUAUGACUGGAAAUUAAUUAUACAGAUAAACUAUUGUGAGUGAACAGAGUAUUGACCUCUCUUUUUUUUUCAGAGGAUAAUAUAGAGGAAUAUUGGUAGCUAGGAAUCAUGUUAAAGAACUAUGCAUAACUACUUUUAUAUGAUAAAGAAGAGCUAAGCAAAAAUUUACAGUCAGAUGGUAACAUAAGGAAAAAUGGUACUAUCAAACAAUCGGUCUUAUUGGGGAAAAGGGACCACAUAGGAAUUUAUGGGAUUAGGAUGGUUGGGAAGCAUGUAGUAGAGUUCAAAAGGAAUGACCAGAGCAAUUGAUACUGGAAAUUUCUUUGACAUUUUUUUCAUGAUUCUAGUGCGUUCAACCUCAUGUUAACAUCAAAUCCCAACAUUUUCCUAUUCUUUCAUUUCGCGAUACUACUUUACAAACUAUCCACGCAUACCACUCAUUAUGUCACUGUGAAUGCAUUGAGAUACAUAUGAGACACUUGUUUUGCUUCCUAGAGUGCGUCCAUAGUUAUGCAUUUUAAUGCUUCCAAUCUUUCAAAAACGCCAUACAUGCUUAGAAUUUGACUUGACCUCUUAUUCGACUGGCCUCAAUUUUGGGCUGGUAGAGCUUUGAUAAUAUGUAUUGGUCUUGAGAGUAGCCCGGCCCAACUACAUAUUAUUGAAAUUUCUAUGGAAUUUUUAUCGACAUAAAUGAAAAGAAAGAACAUAAUGAUAAUUAUAGGGUAGAUUUUAAUUACUAUAGUCGGGGCAAACUUUCAGGAUUUAUUUACUUUUUAUUGUCUCUAGUUAAAGCUCUAUCUAGCUGCAUGGCAAACAACACACAAAACAUUAAUAGGUAAGCAUGAUAUUUGCGAGUGUUGAGAUAGAAAUAUGGAUCCCCUUAUUAACAUUUUUUGUUCUUUUUUGAAGUACAAAGUGACCAGUAUUGUCCUAUGUAUGGUUAAUAAGAGUAGAACAAAAUGUCCAUUUAGCUACUACAAAAUGUAAAACACCUUUUCUUUAAAGCAUAUUGUCCUUUCUUUUAUUAUUGUUUGAAUUUUUUUAUAUCGUCAUGCAUAACUCUUUGUGAAAGAAACACUUUGUUUGAUGUGCAUCGUAUUCUCAAUGAUUUACAAGAUAAAGUGUAAAAACUUGAGUUUACUCAUCAGUAAUAAUUACUUUUUUUGAGGAGCUUAGUGACCGUCAAUUUCUUUGGCUUAACAAAUAAAAUUCAAUAUAUAUAAGUGACCAAACUUUCCUCCCUCUGUACCAUUUGGGAACUAUCUACAAACUUUUAUAUGCAUGAACAUGUCUACAAACUAUCUACAAACUUUUAUAUGCUCGUGCGAUCGUGCCACUUCUUCAUUCGUUUGGCGGCCAAUUUUUAACAUAUCCAUAUGACUUUCUUGGCGUGCAAUAAAAGAACAAUUUUGCUAUAUCUCACUCGAAAGAUUUUUUCUUAUCUCUCACUCGAUUUUCUCACUUAAAUUUACAGUGCAUCUUCUUGUAAGUUACAGUGUAAUUUAUGAAACUUACACUGUAACUUUUGUAAGUUACACUGUAAUUUUUGAAUCUUCGCAUGUAAAUUUUAAAUUUUGUAUUGGAUUUGGUCUUUUUCUUGAGGAUAUGGUAAUUUAGUGUCUAUUAUGGUGUUUCUUAAUUGCUUUUUGCUUUUUAUUAUAUCUAUCAGAUUUUAAUCUAUAAGUCGACUUUGUGAACUAAGAAUUUUUUUAGAUUACUCUAGUAAAACGAAUCUCCAACUCAUCGAAGCACAAGUAACGACACAUUGCCAUUUAUAAAAUAUCAAGAUAAGAAAUGCUUCACAACAAUAGUGCAAACGAAAAUUCUUGUAAAUUAAUCUCAUGGAGUAAAAUGAAACCAGUGUGUUAAAUUAGCGACAAUACAUCAUGCCAUCAUAUAUCAUAGUUUUGGAGGUCAAACACUAAGCUCUAGUGUGUUAAACCGUGGGCUAUGUAAUGGUGCUAUAGACUUUCUAGAAUCCCUUGAACCAUAUGCAUUUUUGUGGUCAUAAUAACUUAUUGAACUCAUGGACAUCUUUUAUGCAUGACGUGAAUAUAAUAGAUAAACUGAAAAUAAAUUUGAAGAUUAUUUUUUACUAAAUAAAUGCACUAGCUGAACAGGAGUUCAGGACUGGAAAUUCUAUUUUCUAACCUUUUUUUAUCAGACCCCUAAACUUGUAGCAGAAGAGAAUAUUUGAUUAGCCUUCAAGAUGAUUUGAAUUUCCUUUUAAAAAUAAUAUGGCCAUUGGCCAUUAAUUAAGCAAGUUACUGAUCCCACCUAUAUAUAGACAUAAUUAUCUGAGUAAUACAACUUUAGUUUGCAUCUGUUGAAUUUUAGUUCUCCAAAUAUUGCUCAAAAAUUAAUUUAAAUUAACUUGGUGUUUUCUAAAGGAACAAACAAAACUGAUCAGUCUAAGGAUGCAUAUGCAUGUAUCUGAAUGAACAAAUUAAUAAGUCUACUAAUUAAAGGAUGCUCUGAUCUAUUUCGCUCGAUAUAUAUAACCUCUCAUUUUUCUCUUGACAUGUCCACCAUGAUUGAGUGUAGGCAGAAACCUUAGCUUCCUCAGAGCGUAAAAGGCACUUUCACAGGGACAUAUGGUGUACUUGGUCACAUGGGUUCGCUCUGCUAAUCGCAUCGCUUUCCGGAGCUCGAUCCGUUUCUCAUUGGCCAGUGCAGCAAGCAGGACAUGAUGGCCGUCACAUCAUCCAAUCCCUUCCCCAUUGGUCGGUGUACGGAUGACCAAUUGACCAUCAGGACCUCGAUUUGGGCGUUUACGGUUUUGUUCGAUUUAUUCUGUUAACCACUCCAGCUUACCUUAGUUCAAAACAAACGUAAGCGUAUACAUCAUCCGUGGGAUAAAUAUCCCCAUACGAAUCGUGCUCAGAAAGACGAACACGAAACAUUUCAUUGACGUAUUACAAUAUAUUAUGGACCGAUUCUACGUGUCGAGCGGGUAAGGAAUGUCUAACUACCAAGUAAAAAGCUGCUAUCGUGACGAUGCCUUACUGGAAUAGAGAUGGUGUUUGGUGUUUUGUGGGUAAACUGUGGAUCUGCUAGUAUCAAAAGGUGCGAUACCAUCAUUACUAAUUAAAUAUAUGUACUAAUUAAAUAUAUGUAUGCGACAGGUUGUCACCAGCAUAUAUAAAUAUGGAAACUUAUAGUGCUAUAUAUGCAAUACUUUAUGUAUAGGGUUAUAGGUUGUUAUUAUUGGAUAGAAAUGAACCGAUUGGAUCGAAUAUUUUUAUUUAAGAGGCCAAUAGGGCAAAACAGAAUUAAAGAUAUAAGGUUGCAUGGGUAAAUAUUGGCCUGUACAGUUUGUAGCCAACGUGGGCCUUAAACAAAAUAUUAGCAAGGUGAAGUUUGGGUAUUAUCAAAACUUGCAUUUGGUCUGCUAUUAAAUUGAAACCAAAAUUUUAAUUUAUGUUACGGUUGAUUGGUUUUAAUUUAUCUAAUGUUUGGUUUAAUGCCAUCUGGAGUAACAAACAGUAUAUGCUAUCAAAGUUUUGAUAUUUUUGGUAGGAUUAGUACUAUUAUGGUAGCAUACCAUAUGGGUGGCGUAUUCCAUUGUCAUUGUUAACUUUUGAUACGUUUUUCUUUGCAUCCAUCCGAACAAGCCCAUAAAUUAUAUUAGUGCUUGUGUGAUAUUUGCAAAAAAGUACGUAGUAGUACAUAGUAAUUAACUGUAUAAAUUAACAUUUCUUGUUAAAUGUUGGCAUGUAUCAUGUAGAUCUGAAGCUGAUCAAACAACUUAUCUCGUUCCCGUACACUCACAUCUUGAAACUAGCUAGUUUCAAUCGGGACUAAAGAUGAGCAUAUUUAAUCCUAGAUUCGGUGUCUCUGUUUGCAACCCAGAAUUAAAGGGGUUGUAAACUGAGUGUGAAAAUGAGUUUUCCAGCACUGUAGCUUGAUCAUGUGGGCUUGUAAACCGCCAUGCAGACAUGCACAUCACUCAAGCAAAGCUACAGAAGUUGCUGUUACAGGGAAAACGUGAGCUUCACGUGAACGUCGUCUGCAGAUGCUGCAGACAUCAUGUUGCAUGCAUCUCUCGGUUUUGCUAUAACAAGCAAUAAUCACAACUUUUAAUGCCAAAAGUCCAAGUAUGCUUCUCCUACGACUAUACGUAUAGCCUUUAUACAGCAAGCACUGGUACUUUGGUUACAUAUAUCAAGAGCGAAUCAGGUUUAGUCUAUUGAUUCCUUUCCUUCCUGAUGACGUUUAAUUAUUCUAGUAGCUUUUUAGGUGUUGUGGCCGGCAGGAAUCUCCGAAUGUUCAGCAUUUUGUAGCUAACUAGGAAGAUAGCCCGCGCAUUCGCGUGGUCAUGCGCAUUAGUUUGUUUCGAAAAUAGUUCUAACAAAAAAUAAAAUUAAAGUAAUAUAUGUUCUAUUGUUAAUUGAGUAUUUAUUGUAUCUCUUUUUAUGAAGAAAUCUUAACAAACUUUCAUUAGUAAUAAAUAUUUUUUUACAUCCUGCUAGCCCUCUCUUUAGUUGCUUCAUAUAUAUGCAAUUCGUUAUGCAUGUGAAUCAAUAAAGAUAGAAAAAAAUCUUUUACAAAAUAUUUAUUGUAUUUUGAAUUUAGUGAUUGAGUGAUUCUUAAUUGGACUUUGUAUUCAAAUCAAAUUACUUUAUUCUAAAUUGUCUUUUUAGGGAUUUUAAAUUGUACUUAAUCUUGUAUCGUGUUGUAUUCGAACUCUUCUUUUAAUACUUAUUUUAUUAUUCCAAAUUUUAGAUAUUUAUAAUUUAUACUUUUAUAGGGACUCUUGAUAUUUUAUAUUCUACAUGGAAUCUUGAUAUAUAUUUUUUUUAUAGUUUUAGUGUUUUUUUAAAAUUUUUGUUUGUGUAUUUUAAUCAAAUUGCUUGUUUUAUAUUUUUUAUCUGAAUUUAAUUACGAACUCCUUCUGGUGAUCCGCCUGUCACCAUCAGCCUCACCGACAUUGUUGACCUCCUCAUCAGUGAGCCUCUCUUGAUACAUUGGACAUGACGUGGCGGGGCUCAGUGGCAAAGAUGAAGCUGUUUUCUAGUUCUUGUUGAAGACAUGGAACGUCUCCCUCUGCCCCCUCCUCUUAGUCCUUGCCCUUCAUCUAAUCAUUUAGCACGCUAUUAGGUCCAGGAACUUGUAGAAGUCAAUGCUGCUGCUGCCGUCGGUGUCCACCUCACUAAUAAUAUCUUGUAGUUCCACCUUCAUCGGGCUCAGGCCUAGAGUAUGCAUCAUGGUUCUAAGCUCCUUGGUGGUGAUUGAACUUGGACUUUAGACCCACACAUUUGAAUUCAUUCAUCGUUUUCGAAGCGCUAUUUUGCUCAAAUAUUUGUAGUCGGAAUAGCCGCAUUAUCUAACUUCUAUAUAGUAAAUAUGGGCAAUAUGGAUCUUGAAUUUAAUUAUAAAUAACACAACAAAUCAAAUAAACUGAGAAAAGUACAUGUAACUUGAGAGUCAUGAUCAUUUAGCUAUUAUUACUAUUUUUUAUAUAUUAUGUGCUAGGUAGAAAAUAUGAAAAGUUAGCUAAAAAAAUAGGAUAUGAGAAUUGGAUCCCAGAGAUGAGUAGGACGGUGGAGGGAGUACGUAUGUACGUGCAUGCUCACAUACGGUAGGGGUGGAGGUGGGUGUACCGGAUUUAUUUUUGUGAGAUGUAGCAAUUAUAAUUAUUGGGUCUACCUAUUUAAAGGAAAAUCAAUGGUUUGAUUUUUUUUUAUCAUAAUUUCUAGGAACUUUUAAUUUAUUUGAGCGCUACAUGGCGUCUUAUGAGUGUUUGUAAAAAAUCAUGUGACAGUUUGAGAGUAUUUGUAGGGAGUUUAAUGAAUUUAUAGUAUAUAAUAGAUAGUUAAUAUAGCAUUUUUUUGGUUCUUUAUGUACUGAACAGCUCGCUAGAAAAUAUGGAUAAGAAAGUGAGCAGGAGAGAUAAUAAGAGAUCAUUUACGAUGGCAUGAUAUAUGUUACUUUUUAUAAUAUUUUAUUACUAUUUAGUUGUGAUAUAAAGGAGUUUAUGUCAAAUGAUAUGUUUCUUAUAUAUGUACAUGCCAAAAUAUGGUAAACAUAGUUCAAAUUAAAAUCGAAUAUAUUAUAAGAUAUUCUAAUUAUUUAGUUGUGUUUUUUAUAUAUAAAAUUUUGCUACCAUAAAUGGAAGGAAGAAGAGAGGGGUGGGGAGACAUACAUACUUUGGAUGUACGUACGUGCUAGGAGAGGAGGGACCUAGGGAGAGGUGUGGACGUACCGCGUACGUGACAUUUUUUUUUACAUAUAUAGAUCUAAUGGUGCAUAAAGUGAAAAUCAAUGGUAGGAUGUUUUCCUUUUUUUUCUUGGAAUUUCUUAGAUUUCUCUAAUUUAUUAGAGCGCCACGUAGCAGCUUAGAAGUGAUUGUAGGAGUCACAUGGCAGCUUAAGAGCGUUUCUAAAAAGUUUAAUGGAAUUACUCAUACGAAGUCUAUUUGUAGACAUUUUUUUUCAUAAAGAUAGAAAAAGAAGAAAGAAACAAAGGGAAAAAAGAGAAGGGAAGAUAGGGAUCGUACACAAUACGUGCAUACUGCACGUAGGUAGGGACGGCGGGAGUUUUUUUUCUUUAAAGAUAAUCUAACGAUCUAAAAUAAUCGGUCCACCUAUUUAAGUGAAAAUCGAUGGUCAGAUUUAUCUAUUUUAUUAGAGUGCCACGUGGCGACUCAAGAAUAUUUUUAGGAUGCCACGUGGCGGCUUGAGAGCGUUUGUAGUUUGUAGAAAGUUUAAUGGACUUUUAGUAUAUAAAAUAGAUAGAUAGAUAGAUAGAUAGAUUUUUAUGAAUAUAAUGAUGUAAAGUGUGCGUCUUUUUUCAUACGAAGAGCAUUUUGUAAAAGUCUCACUUGUUUUAGUUACUCUAGAUCAUCUUUAGCAAAAUAAUCUGAAGCGUUUUGAACUACGGCCGGGAGUACCACACGAAAUUAAUUAUCUGAUCUUUCGUUUUUGCUAGUACUAAUUAGAUGUGCUUUGGAGGGCCUUCAUCAUAUCGCAGUAUAUAUACAAGUGUUGCUUCGGUGGUGUAUGAGGAUAAGGAUUGCUUGUCGUUGUUGCUAGCUGCAACAUGAUUUCUUAAUAUUCCCAAGCUCUACAAAUCUAUGAAUCUAUAUAUUGAUAACAUUUAAAUAAAUCAUUUUGUGUUCAUUUUAGAUGAAAUUUAAAAUUUUAAACUAAUAUAAUUUAACAAGCGAACUUCAAAUCUAUUUUGAAUCUGAGAUCUAGAGUUGUGCCAAACAAAACCUUAAGUAAUGUAAUUGUUUCAAUAUCAAUAAAGCUUUCUUUAUAAAAAAAUAGCUGUGCUUAGUUUGGACUUACUAGUUGGAUGUUUGUCUAAGAAAUAGGAACCAAGAUCCCCAUCUUCAACUGCUCGGGGCACAUCUGCUAGUCGCCCCUAUGCAGGGACCCCCAUGUGUUGAGCUCGGGCACAUAUGCCACUCAUCCCACGGAGAUGGGCUGUGCUUGGGGCACAUCUGUCACCAAGCACGCCCCCUGUGGGCUAAGCUCAGGGCACAUCUGCCACUCGUCCCCGUAUAUGGGCCCCCAUGGGCUAAGCUCGGGGCACAUCGGUACCAAACACCGGCCCCUCGUGGGCUGUGCUCGGGGCAUAUCUGCCACUCGAGCUCGGGCCCCCAUGGGUUAUACUCGGGACACAUUUGCCACCUUUCCCCCAUAUGCUUGAGGUAGCAGCAAAGCGUUGACCCAAUCAAGCCUUGCAUUCAAUGUGAAGCGAUGUAUACCAACCCAGCAUACGUCUGGGACAAAGGGUGACAAGACGGCGCACGCUGACCCUAGGACAAGCCAUCAUCACUCCUAAAAAGGCAAGGAGCGUGGGCUGUUAGAUAGCAUGGUUGUUUGACUUGUUGCCUGUCUCGGCCCACUGCAGUGCGGCCCCACGUACCUCUGAGGUUGGCAAGUGGGCUUGACAACUACUAGGGUGUUCAUGUCACCUAUCCUAAGCCACAUGUCGAAGGAAGGAGAAAGGGGUAGAGAGAAGCCACUCUACAUCCCCAACACGAUUGACACACAAGUUCAGGGCGAGAGUGGGUCCUGCCAACUGUCAUGCGACAAGACUAAGCAUACCAACCCCUGUGAGCGGGGUCGCACUUGUGUACACAUGCAUGAGCACUGCGGUAUCCUUUGACAUAUAAAAGGAGGACCAAGACCACUGAGAAAAGGAUUCGGCUUUAGUUAGAUUCUAGGCAUAAUACUGUGAAGACGGAUUCAUUCUCUCCCACUUAGAACAAUAUUGAAAAACUCAUUGCAAACUUGAUCAUGUAGAGCAAGAACAUAUGAGUAUGGUAUUACACUUCCGAGCGGCUCGAACUUGUAUUCAUCAUCAGACAUCAGUCAACGUCCUCUCUCGCGUUCCGAAUACGAGCUCUGGUACUUGCACCCUGACCAAACUUUCGAGGGAGGGUAUUUUACCUUUCUGCUUUCCACUAGAAGAGCUUCUUGCUGCAACAAUAUAUAUCAUAUGCAUGGUAAUGGAUUACUAAUAAUUUGCACUCAACAUGAACAGGCUAGGAAUUAGGUUCGAGUAUAAAGGAUAUAUAGAAUGUGACCUAUGCGAUUAUCUCAUUCUUUAAACCAAACGGUACCCUCAGCAGAUCGCGGAUCAUCUUGGCCAACUUAAUGAAUGAGCUUAUGUCGAGUGUCUGUCGUUUUUCUUAAUUAGUUAAGCAAUAGAUUGAUAAUAGUGACAGAGCUAGCUAGCUGCUUUUGAAUCUUUCGUUUGUUUUGAUUUGGGAUGGCUCGUGGCUGCAUAGUGACGUCCCUUCAAUGCCACCAUUAGCCAACUAAUGAGUUAACUUGUCCAUAAAUCUGACACCCUAUUGGCAGGCGAUGCAUCAUAAUAUGUACUUGAUAUGAUAGUAUAUUAUUAUACUAGCUACUAAUAGUAAUAGUCACUAAUUGGAUCUGUAAGAUUCGCAUAUAUAUAUAUACAUCUUCAUGUGAAUGAUACACAUCAUAUCAGCAUAUGUUCGACUCGAUCGUAUAUAUAUUACAAUUUUUUUCUUAAACACUCUAGUACAGUAAUAGUAGUUGGCCUUUCUAGCUAGGUAUGAUUCAAGCUUGCAUUGAGGUCUUGCCAACCACUCUUAAUCUAAUUACAGAUGUUGUGCCUAAACAUAUACACUUAUUAACUUGAACCGGCAAUAAUAUACACCACUUCUGGCGAUAGAUAAAAUUCCUACUACACUGUGUUUGUGGAUACGGCUGAUAUGAGAAUACAAAUGAAGGUGUGGCGAGAGAGAGAGAGGAGACACUAGUACAAUAACGAUUUUUCUGUGCGGUCAAAAGCGGUUUUCGCGUGCGGAUCUUCCCUCCGUCUGGAACGAAGUGUCUGCGAAAAUCUGAUUUUUUCCGUGUGGGUGACGCACCCGUGAUUUUUGCGUGCGGGUGCUUAAGCCGCCCACACGAGAAAAUAAAAAAUCGAAACAAAAAAAAAGAAAAUCAAAAGCCGCCCUGGAACCCUAAUCCAGCUGCUACCGCCGGCUUGCCCGAGGUCCGCUGCCGUCGUCCCUGCGGUCGCUAGCGACGGAUCCAGAUGCCCGAGGCUGGGAGCUAGAGACCGCUGCCGCCACCGCGCUGCCCGAGGCACGCCGCCGCUGUCCCCAUGGUCGCCGGCGACAGAUCCGCCCUCCCCGUGGUGGUAGGCAACGGAUCUACCCUCCCCGCGGUGGCCGGCGACGGAUCCGCCCUCCCCGUGGUGCCGGCGACAAAUCUGCUCCACCGCCACCACCCUAGCCGAUACCGCCGCCGCACUCGCCGCCACCGCCGCCCUAGCUGAGGCCGCCGCUGUCGCCGGGAAUGGGUGGGGCCGAGGUGAGGGGGAAUGGGAGGGGGAGAGGGAGAGGGAGAUGGGAGGAGUGGGAGGAGAGAUGGGAGGAUGGGAGGGAGAGGGAGUGGGAGUGGCCGAGUGGGAGGAUGGGAGGAGAUCGAGUGGCGCUGGGAGCUAAAAGGGUGGGUGGGCUAUUUUCGCGUGCGGGUCACUUAACAGGUCCACAAGUGAAAAUAAGCAUAUUUUCAUGUACGGAUCUCUUGUCUACGAAAAUUGAUUUUUUCAUGCGGUCAUUUUAAAGAGCCACACGAGAAAAUGGAGCACGAUUUUUGCAAUCUAAAGUGAGUCCCGUAUAGAAAAAUCAUUUAUGUAAUAGUGAGACAUAGAUUUUUAUGAGACCAAUAACUUGGCACUCCUUAGUACAAUAAUUCAAAGCUAAUCUUGAACUUUGGACACAAAUUUAUGGUUUAUAGGUCUUCUCCAACACUUCUAUUGCGUAACUUUAGCCUUUUCAUGAUUGCUAUAGAGACAAGUAAAAAUAAUCUAAAGGAAUUUUCGUCAAAUCAAACUUUAAAAUUAAAAGCCCCUCAAAAUUGCAAUCCAAAAUCUUUGAUCGACAGACCUGGUUCCUGGUUCUUUUUUCUAAAUGACCUACACAAGAUAAUACUGUGAAGUUUCAUAUUACAAGACCAUAACUCUGGCAGGCUAUAAUCAGGAACUGAAAAAAAAAAGAAACAAACCAUGCCUCGUGCCUACAACAUGAACGACCACUGUUGGGGAACGACAAGGAGCAUGACAACUCGAUCGGCGCACUCAACUCUAUUCAUACCAUUGGGUUGGAGAGGGAGAAGACGAGAGAGAUGGAUCCACUCUCCCCCACACAAGCCCACCAACAUAGCUAUCUUGUGGUGGCUAGAGGCGCCACCGCAAGAGGACAAUCUAUUUGAAGAGGAGAUUGUUAGGAAAUGAAUCUUCAAACGAUGUCUCUAGGGACGUUGCGACAUCGAUGGCACCACCAUCGCCCACCUUAGAGAGUGAAGAUAUAGUUUUCACCCAAAGCGUUCCAGCAUGAAAAGGAGAAGAGAUGCCACGGCAAUGCUCCCAAGAGGGUGGGGCACUAAAAAGCAUUGCCACUGCCGGCCCGGAAAUGGGCUGUGCUUUCACCCGGAAAUCUUCUCUCUCUCUCUCUCUUGUCAUUACAUCCAUGUCGUUUCCAACUGCCACCGCCAUCCAAGCCCCUUCAGCACACAACAAUCACCACAAACGCUGGCCGGCCUCCUCGCCACUCCCUACACGAUCUCUACCACCGUUGCCUCGGGGGGAACGCCUCUAACUCACUACUGUCCUUCUCAGUUAUUGCACCUUGCCACAAUUGUCACCCCAAGUGCUACCUCUUUUCCCACACUAGAUCUGAGGUAGCACAGGGGGUUGCACCCCGCUAGCUGUAAUCCUAGCUUUGCCACUCGGUUUCUGGUGGGUUGCUCUGAUGGCAGUGGCGGCUAGGCUUUUUGCCGCCACCCGAGUCACCAGCACGGGGUGAGGCAGGGGUUGUUACUUUACCUCUGUGUGCUGAACAUACUAGGUGUUGCAAUUCGUUUUUGGUUCUAUUUAAUCCACAUGGUCCCAUAUAUAUUAUCCACGAUACACACAACAAUUUAUAAUCUACUUAAAGCUGUGUUCUUUUGUCCAUGUUCCCAACUUCUACCUGCUCGUUUGUCGCGCGCACGCUUCCCGAAUUAUUGCUAAGUACUCCCUCCAUCUACUUUUAAUAGUUAUAUUUCAUCUUGGCACAAAAAUCAAAGAUAAAUAAUUAUACUUAUUAUCCAUUUAAACAUGCUACUAGUUAUUCCUCGUAAACAAUUAAGCGAUUCAUUAAUAUUUACUUUCUCGAUGCCCAUGUAGCCAAUCUUGUGUGGAAAAAUGGUGAGUCACGCAUUAAAUCCGAGAAAAUCAUUAAGAUGAUAAGUUGUUGGAUUGAAAUAUGCCUAUCAAAAAUAAAUUUUUCAGAUUUGAAAAUAUGACUAUCAAAAAUAGAUGGAGGGAGUAAUGUAUUUUUCCAAAAAUAAUUCAAUAGAAAAGUUGCUUAAAAAUUAUAUUAACCUAUUUUUUAAGUUUUUAAAGUUAACAUUUAAUUAACCAUGCAUUAAUUUAUCGUUUCGUUUUCUGUACCUAGGAGGGAGGGGUUCCCAGCUCUCACCUUAGAACAUACUAACCCAUUUGUUUGUGUCAUGGGGCUGGAAUUAAUACUUUCUUAGUUAUUGAGAAGAUCAAAUCUUUUUUUUUACCUUAAAAGGUUAAUUUGAACACAUCAGUCACUCAGUCAGGAACGAAAGAUCUAUGAAACGAAAUUGCUUAGGUGGCUCUGUCGAAAAGUGAAAUGCCAAACACAUCUAGUGAAGAAGACUUUCGGGCGCCAUAUAUAUAUAUAUAGUAUGGACCGCGUGGCUUAAUGGAGUUGUGUUGUGUUGUUAAUUAGCUAGGCUUGUCAAGCAAGAACUACUUUUGACUUUUUCAUAUAUAUUGACAAAAGUCAAGGUUGCUGGCCAGAAAACUAAACUAAAUUAAAACCUGGACUGAUCAUGGACAGAGUGAGGUAAUUAACUAGGUAUUUAGUGCAUUGCUCAUUAUAACACAUAAUUAUCAUGAACAGUUGCAUACAUAAGAUGUGGAAUUCAUUAAUUAUCUACUGAAUAAAAUAAUUAAUUGUGAAGCUAUAUCUAUAUAUGCCGUGCAUCUUGCCUUUGAAUUCAACUGCUACAAAUUAAAUUGACAAAUCAACGGGCCGCCGGGUAAUUGUCGUCUUCUGAUGGAAGAUUAAUUGUUUACUUUUCAUGUGAACUGAAGAGGGUUUUGGUCAAAUAAAACUUAGCUAAUAAACUAACUUUCAAAUAGAUCGAUCUGCACAUGUGGGUUUACACUUUUUUAUACUUAACUUUGGUACAGUUCCUGUACUAGCUAGCUAGUGCCAAAACAUGGGAAGACCGACAGUAGAUAUGCAGCAAAAUAAUAUUUUUGAAAGAUUAGUUAAGCAUAAAGCUAGCUAUAGGAUAAGCCUGCAUAUGCGUCACUGAUUUCCUGAUCAGUUUAGGCCUAAUUACACUUAUAUUAGUAACUGGGCGGAUACAUGCAUGCAUGUAAUGAUGCAACGGGCCAUUUCGCUUAGGAAGUUAGCUCCCUGGCUUCCACGCGUCGGUGAAUCAUCCGGCAGGCGGCUGGUACGCCACGAGCGCCUCUCAGGCUCUCACUAUCCUCUAGGGCACAACAACAAUAUUAUCUUCGCCACCGGAUUCAAUUAUUUUAAUCAAACGCCACUUUUUAUAAGAACAUUGCUAAGCACGCUAGCUAGAUCAGUAUCAUUAUAUUCUAAUUAAUUAAUUAAUUAAUUACCUGUGAUGUGAUCUUUUUUCUCAUAAUACAUACGGUUUUAUUUGAUCUAAUGAAUUGUUUGGAUUUGAUGGCUGGACAUCCCAUUCUAGGGCAGUAGGGCUUGUUUCACUGGAUACCACACUUUACCAUGGCAAAUAUUAGCCAUGAUAAUUUUUUAGCGACUGCUUGGUUCAUUGUUACAAUUAUGGUUUGUCAGUAGGGACGAAUACAAUUAAAAAUAGCCCCAACUAUUUUCGUAACCAUUAUCUUAAAGUAGAAUAAAAAAAAAGCAAAGCUGAAAAUGGAAACAGAAUCGGAAAUAUUGAAAGAAAAGGGGAAACAAAACUAUAUUGAUGGAAACAUAUCAGUAUCGAAAAUUAGCACUAAAUGUUGGAAAUAUUAAACUAUAAAAUUCACAUAUUUGACUUAGUAUAACUAUAUAAUAUGAAAAAAAAUAAAUAAAUUCAACACUACAAUAGUUAAAUGCCAUGCACUCAAGUUAAAGAUUAUUAGAUUGAGUAGUUGAAGAGCAUGUAAACUACAUAUCAAAUAGAGACAUGGACCAUAUAUAUUGUGGUAUAGAAAUACAAUAAUUACCAUAUUUUAAAAGCAGAAAUUUUCCAAAGAAUAUGGUAAAUUACGAAAACGGUCAGUGUAACAGUAAAAUUGUUUCCGUUUAAUUCCAUGUUUUUUUUACCAUUUCUAUUUUCAUUCUCAUCGGUUAACAUUUUCACAUGGCUCAGCUGGUAGAGAUCGGAAACUAUUGAUGAUUAGUCAGGAAUUUUCAUUACUCGUUUCUUUGCUAAACCUUGCUACGUGUGUACUAGAUUGGUAGCCACACUUAGUCGUGGCAAAGUUCAGUAAAUAAAUGUGGUUAUGUCACGCCCCGAACUAGUCCCGACCGGAACUAGCCCGUGACGCUCCAAAUUAACCUGUUAAUCGAUACCAGUCCCAGGAAACAGUGCUGGUAUCACAGGGAGACAGAAUAUCAUAGCAACAGAGGUCUCUUUAUUAUAGAGUAGAUGUACAGUCAUGUUGGGCUGCGGACAGAUCCCGAGCUUACAACUGCAUUACAAAAGGAAAGCGGAAGCCAGGACUUGGACCAAUCAACACAGGCGCGACUUGGGAACUAGGCCGAAACCCUAAAACUCAUCGUAGUCGGCUUGCUUCUGGAAGAACUCCUCAUCAGCAGGAUCCGCUUCAUCUUCUUCAGCAACUGGGGGGGGAUUAUUUAUAUAGAGCAAGGGUGAGUACGGGAGUACUCAGCAAGCCAUGGGAAGUAAGUGUUUAAUGCAGGCUUCAAGGAAAGGCUGGUGUUUUUGCAAUUAAUUUUAUUUGAACUCUUUUCUGAAACAACUAAGUGAGUGCUUCUCAAACGACACGGAUGAGACAGUACGUCUCGUCCGGUCGGAGUAUGUGCAAUGUAUCAGUCUUUAGAAUUUAAACAAGGUUGGUACCCGGCCAACAGCUUUUUCAACGGCCACCCGGGCCAACAACUUUUCAAACGGCCACCCGGGCCUAGCUGAUCCCAUCAGCUGCAGAUUUUUCAAACACCGAACCCCUUUUCACACAGCAAUUUCACAAGCAGUAGUCAAACCAAACUACGCUAGGAAUCACCUCACAUCCGCCCAUGACCGUGGGCACGGCUGUUCGAACAGUUUGUUAACCUCUGCAGAUGGGGUACACUUUACCCACACGACAUUACUAACCCGGAUCACCCAGCCCGUGGGGAUCAGCCACGUCGGGAGACCUCCAAGCUUUCAUGACAAGGCAUUUCCAAAGCCGACACAGGUUUACCAUAUGCCGACGAGAGGGGUCCCAGACCAACAACAGGUUAGGUCCCAGACCAUACUGUGCCAGGAAGCCCAGGGGUCCUCCCCGACACCACCCCGGCGAAUCCACAUGUCUCUCGGCAUCAAGGCUCCCCUGAUAAGCUAGUUACUCAGCCAGGGGUGUCCCAUUCCACCCAUGUGGUCGUACUUGUCUUAUGUUUGGAUGAAAUUCCAAGGAAUCGGUCCUUAAGUGCGAGAGCGGGAAACCGUACACCCGGUACGUUCCCCGGUCCGCGGUUUUGGAAAUUCAUUUAGUUCGCAAGCACCGACCCAGGUGUCGGGUUUUCCAAGUCUUUUGUAAAACUCCAGUUUUACCCAAGUUGUUACUCAGAUUUUAAGUUUGAAGGCGACCGUCGAUACUGGCACAGGGUGCACGAAUAUCGAGGCGCAACUGGAUGGUUACAAGGGGACAUGGUAUAGCAAUUAACAAUGGAAGGAUCAAAUGCAACAAGUUAGGUAGGUCUGCCAAUCUGCCUUGCAGACGGAACAACAGAUUAAGUGCAAUCCUAUCAAUGCAUAAUAUUUUGCAAGCAAUAUAAUUAUAUUUCAAAUAUAGGCUCAAGAUGUUCAAAGGUGGCUUGCCUUGCUCGAGAUCUGGAGCUUGAUCCUCGAAAUCCUCGCACUGCGGGUCUUCGGGCUCCGAAACUACACGCAAAACGGGACAACUCAACAAACGGCGAAAAUAAAGCCCUAUUAAUGACCUCUAAGCGUGCCAUUAGAUAGAUCUCGAGAUUUGAGAAAUUUUGGAAUUUGAACGGAGUCAAACGGAUUUACGGUUGGAAAGAUAUUGAAUUUCUAAGAUUAUUGGAUUUUUGGUCUAAAGGAAAAGGAUUUAAUUAAAUCCCUUUUUUUUUGGAAAAGAAAAGAAAAGAAAAGGGGAGAGGGAGGGAAUAUAGACUUCCCUCGGGCGGCUAGGGCGCGGCCCAAGAGAAAGGGCGGCUCGGCCGAGCUUAACGGGCCAGCCGGCCCAAGAAGGUGGCCCAGAGCGGCCCAAGACGCGCGCGCGCGGGAGGGAGGAGAGAGAGAGCCGGUGGACCGGGCUCACCAUGCGCGGUCCCGGGUGGGACCCGCUUGUCAGCGGCUCGGCUCACCGUGCGGAGGGAGUACGCGGCUCAUGCGCGCGGGCGGGGGAGGGACGCAGUGCACGCGCGCGGUUCGCGGUGGACGCGGAUGCAGCGGGCCCACGCGCAGCCUCACGGCUCGCGGUGGAACGCGCGCACGGGGAGGGACUGACCGGUAUCGGCUCGACCCGGUCUAGGCUGAGCUGGCGCCGACGUGGCGCCUACGUGGCUGCCACGCGGGCCGGCGGGAGGUAGACGACGACCCGGCCGCGAAUGGACGGCUGGCGGCGGCGGCGAGCGGCGGAGCGAACCACAGCGAUACGGGCAAAAGCUAGCACACCGGGCGGUUGUUCGUGAUGAGGGGAGACGAGCCAAUGGCUCGGAUUCGCCAGAGGGAGUUCGACGGCGGCGAAUCGCGGCGGCGACAACCGGCGGGGAGGGAAGAGGGAAACGCCGACGAGGUCACGAGGGACCGAUUCCCGGCGGUGAGAGCAUCUACGCGGUUUCGGGAACUCGAUGCUAGCGUCGGAUUGGACGGAGCUACGCCGAGCGAGGCUGGCGACGUGUGGGUGCUACGGAGCUCGAGCGGCGACGGCGGCGAGCACACGGCGAGCGACGGCAACGGUCGGGGCGGCGCCGGCUAACUACGGGGAGUCUACUCGAGCUACUACCGAAAGCUAGGGGGAGGAGAUGGAGCGAGGAGGAAGAACGGAGGGAGGCAUCACCGAGAUGAGGAGGGGCGCUGUGACGAGAGGCCGACGGCGCGGGAGUAAUCUCUCCGGCCUCGGGCCGGGGAAGAGGAAGGAGAGGGUGCGGCCGAAGUCCCCUUCCGCGUCCUUGCUCGUGCCGACUCCUUCGACACGCGCAACAACGAACGGCGACGGCGAACAGAGCACGGGGGCGGCAGCUAUGGCGAGGAGGCGAAAACGAGGGAGAUUGGAGGGGAAGGAGCUGGGGUUUAAAGGGGGCGGCAAUGUCGGUUUGGGAACCGACUUAGGGCGGUCAAGGCGCGAGCUGGCGCUCGGCGGUCGCGGCCAAAGCGGCGACAGGGAGGAUGACGCCGGCGGGGGAAAAAGGGGAAAAAGGAGGGGGAGAAAGGGGCUUGCCCUUUUGCCGAUUCGGGAAAAAGGAGGAGGGGAGCGGGGGCGACGCGGCAGAGGGAGGAGGGGCGCUGCCUCCGUCCCUUGGCGGCUUGCGCGUGGAGUGGCGGGGGCCGGGCGGUGACGACGGCAAUGACGGCGGGGCGGUUUGGAGCGGCGCGACGACACGAGCGACAGGCGCGGCAGGCGCUGACGAUGGCGGCGACCAGGCGGUCGGCCACUCGGCACGCGCGCGCGGCUCGCAACGGGAGGGCGUGGCGGAUGGAGCGGCGCGGCUCGGCACACGCGCUGGCUGCGGGGCCGAGCGGCUGCAGGCGCGGCAGGGCAGCGGGGCCGGGCGGCGACCACGCGGUGCGGGCGAGGACCACGCGGGCGCGCGCGCGAACAACAGCGCGCGGGGGCCGGCUUUGCGAGCGGGGAGCUCGCUAGGGAGAGGAGAAGGAAAGCGAGGGGAGGAGGCGCUCGGCGCGGUGACUCACGCGCACGCGCGCGGACAGAGCGGAGGAGGAGGAGCGCUCGGCGCGGCUCCCGCGCACGCGCGCGCGGCGCGCGGGCGGAGCGGAGCGGAGCUGAGGGAGAGGGGAGAGGGAGCGCGCCGGGAAGGGGAGGGGGCGAGAGAGAGCGAGAGAGAGGGAGAGAGAGCGGGAGGAAAUCGGCCCAUCGACCCCCGGGGGAGGCAAAAUAGACUUUUGCGGAGGAAUUUGAUUUGGAAGGAUUUGGAUUCGGAUUUGAACUCGACGAUAGAUCGGGGAUUGAGAUCUUGAGAUGGCACGGACACUAGACAACAAGCAAAGAAACAAAUUUCGCAAUUAGGGUUUUUAAGAGAUAAUUUUCCCGCUAGGCGCCACGACGGAACGGGCGCUACAGGGUGUGUUCCUUCUCCAAAUAUGCCCUUAAUGUUCAGUUUUAUUUGGCAACUAAUUAAACCAAGCAUAUAUAUACUACCUCCGGCCAGUUUUAUUUGUGGUUUUGGACAAACUAUAUUGAUAAAGAAUAUGUUGAUAGUACUUUAUGCUUGCCUAUGGACAAGUAUUUGUGGUAGUCAAAAGUAUGACAUUGGAAUACCUCGCUCACCGUUGAACACAACCGUGAGUUAGCUGACCAGACUCAUCCGUGACCCACACAAACUAUAGGUUCCAUGAAUUAAUUCCGAUGCCCUUUGCCAUCUGCAUACGCUUCCUACUUUAUCUUAAAGAAAUUCCAUAGUUUACCAAUAGGCUCUCUUACUUGAAAAAAUAGGUCUUUUUUUUCGAUUUCUAUUGAGUAGAGGUUUUUCUUUUUGUUUUCUUUUUCUGGAUUUGUAUGCCAUGCAUUCUCCCACUGUUCUUUUUAGUAUCGUUGAUGAUUAAUCUCCAAAAAUAUAUCUUUUACCAUUAUUUUCUAAUCAUUUGUUUGUAGGAGUUACUAAAAGUUUACUAAUAUCAUUCUCAUAUAUACAUCAAAUCUUAAUUAAAUGAAUGAAUUUCUAUAUUGUCGAUUUAAGUUUUUGAUAUCUGAUUAUGUGAAUGCCAAAAUGACAUCUACUAAAAUCUCAAACAUUGGUGAGGAUGAGACAUCAUCUAGUACAACGAAUCUGGAUAAAUAGCUAGCUCAUGUCUCAUCCUCACUAAGGUUGUUUUUUUUGGGACAAAUGGAGUAUUUGUGAACGAAAGAAGGCCAAGCAUGCACUUAAUCACCACCUUUCGUGCGUGCAACGAUUUUUCUCUUGGCUCUAGCUAACCUAAGCCGGGACACUUUUAACAGGCCUUUUAAAUGGCAUCCAGCCAUAAAUUAAACUAAUCGCCAAUAUCAGGCAGCAGCCAAUUGGGCGCUGUCUCCUCUUUCCUCUCUUCCCCCUCCCCCUUGCGUUUCAUUGCUAAAUAAAGCAAGUCGCUGGCAAUUUGAGGAAAGUCCACCCAUACCCUGCAAGUUGCAUCCACCACCAGAAAAAGCCUCUCCCGCAAACGCCACACACCAAACCACAAUUAAUCCCAUCAAAUUCCCCUAUAAGCUUUGGCCUCUUUGCAGCUUUCUUCUACCAGCUCCCAGCUAGAUCCCCUCUUGCCUUCUUUGGCACAUUCGUUCUUGCUCUCUGCUGUGGAUUAUUUGCCUCCGGCUCCGGCCAAUCGGCGGCGUGGCGCGGGCAGAUCGAUCGAUCUCAUCGGCGGCGGGGAUUGCCUGUUCUAGCUAUAGCUUGAUAGCUUAGCUAGCUUGGUCAUUUCUGGUGAGAGAUCGAUCGAGAUAGCGGCGAAGAAGAUGGGGAGGGGGAAGAUUGUGAUCCGCCGGAUCGACAACUCGACGAGCCGGCAGGUGACGUUCUCGAAGCGGAGGAACGGGAUCUUCAAGAAGGCCAAGGAGCUGGCCAUCCUCUGCGACGCCGAGGUCGGCCUCAUGAUCUUCUCCAGCACCGGCCGCCUCUACGAGUACUCCAGCACCAGGUCUGUUCUGUUCUUCAUAUCAUCGAUCAUCCGUCCUCUCUCCUUGCUUGCUUGUUGCUUGUUGAUGAUUAACUUUUGCUUGAAGAUAAUAUUUGUUAUUGAUUCUUGUUCUUUUCCUGCGCUUAGCUUUUUCUGCUUUAAUUUCCUAGUAUUUUGAUAUUUAGCCAGGGAGCCAGCAUGGGCCAUGGCCAGCUCUUCUCUGUGCAGUCAGAAAGAUGCAUAAACUAUGCAAAAACUGCCCUCUUAUUGAGAAAAGAAAUAAACUAUGCAAAAACCGUAUAUAGACAUUCAUGCACCUAACUAAAAAAUGGUUAUCACAUAUAUAUAAGAGCUGCACGGAGUAAUGAUUAUAUAUGUUUUUGUCUUUAUUUUUCUUUUGAAGGAGAUCUGUAUGUGUAGUUCUUCUAUCUAAUUUAUCUUUUGUUUUGCAUAUGUAUAUUUUUUUUCUUCCUUGUUCUUGACUACUAAUUAAUUAAUUAAUUGCAAAACUAAACAUUGUCUUUGGUUUGUAUUAAUUUGUAUAUUACUUGGCCGUACGUUAUCAUGUGAUCAACAUAUAUGCAUUGCAGAAACCAUCAAAUGAAAGAAUAUGUGGUGAAUGGCAGCUAAAAAAAUGAUCUAGGGUUUCGUGAUAAUAUGAAGUGUAUAGUGUGUGUCUCUAAAUGAAAAUUUGUAUUACUUCGAUCUCUCAGCUGUGAAUAAUUGCGUGGGUCUAUACAUCUCAACUACCAAUUAGGAGGUGUGUUAGAUGGAUGCUUAUUUCUUGGUCAAAAAAUAACACAUAAAAAUCACAUGAUUCACAUAUAUGAUGUGUAAUCUUAAUUAACAGAUUAAAUUUUGUUACUUACCGUUAUAUAUAUGCAAAUAUGCAGCAUGAAGUCAGUUAUAGAUCGGUAUGGCAAGUCCAAGGAUGAGCAGCAAGCCGUCGCAAAUCCCAACUCGGAGCUUAAGGUUUGGUUCCCAAGAUUGAUUAUUACAAUUUAUACAGUUUGAUUAUUCUCAGAUUUAAGUGAGAAAUAUAUCCACUCUAAAAAAAAUUAGAUCAUCCUGAAAGCAAAUGCCACAGUGGAGUUUAGAAGUAAUACUUAGCAAGCUAGCUUGCAUGCAUCAUAGCUCGAAUAAUCACACACUAUAUAUUUCCAUUUUGUCCGCCAUAUAUAGGUUCCUAACUUCCAAUUACAUAUAGACACAGUAGAACACCAUUUGUUUUAAAUAUAGUCCUUGCGCAGGAGUGUUGCCAUUCGUAUAAGUUUCAUUAAUUUCAAGGGAAAUAUGUGUCUCUUUUAUGGUAAAUUUUGGGGAGUGGGGCCAUGGGGGGAGUAUGUAGCACACUGAAUUUUGAUGAAAUAAUAACAAGAAUAAAAUUAUUUGAUCUUUUAAUAGAUAUAGGUGCACAUAUUAUUUUUGUGUGUGCUAGCUUUAGAUAUUUACACCAUUGCAACAUAAAUAUAUAUUGCAUAUGUCUCCUGGCAAACUAAUUAAAUUGUCUAAACACAAUGUUAAUCUACUUAUGUUCUAUGUCUAUCCAAAAUGACCAACCUCUGAUUGAGUAUAUAUAUACAUGGAUAGUUCCCAAAAAAUUGCAAGUCUGUUUGUACACAUUUGUUAUGGAAAUAAUAAACUAAGCAACUAAAUAAACUUAAUAAUACAUUAUCAACUAAAGAAAUAUCAACCAUAUAUACGUAAGACAAUCUAUAUUAUGCAAACAAAUAAAGCAAGCAAAUAAUCAACUGCAUAAGAUGACCAUAUCUUUCUUGGCAAUUAACAGCGUGGUUUUCAUAAUGAGUAUAUUUUAAUCUUAGAGAUUUUAUGACUGAUAUGACUUGAUUCAUCUUAGCGUACUUCACACCUUAUAUAAUCCCUUUUUCCAUUGUAGUGUAUUGUACAGUUUUGUUCUGUGUUAUCCAAAAUAAUCACCUUGCCCUAGUGACGUAUGAAAAUUGCCUAACAGUUCAACUUUAGUUUUAGAUUUGUGAAGAAUGAAACUAAGUAUCUAAUUAAGAUUAAAACAUAGAUAAACCAAACAUGGAGCAUUGCAUGAAUAAUUAAAACAACCUUCCUUAUAAAUAAAGUCAUUGUGGUUUGUCAGCAUUUUGAUUCUAAUCUACCUAUAUUAAUUAAGGAAGUCGAUCUUACAUGUAGUCUUUGAUUAGCGUGGAGCUAUCAAUCCUCGUGGUCAAUUUUUAAUGCAUGGUUGAUAUCAUCUUAUAUCUUUGAUAUCCUACUCAAUGAAAUCUGAUAAGACGAAAAAAAUCACCAACAAAUUCACAUGGGAUAGGGGCCAAGACGAUUAAACGUACCUUUCGCAUGAGAGAAAAACACAUUGUUUAUGAUGUUUAUAUAGAUCCUGAUGGGCCUGAUAAGGUCUGGAAAAAAAAGAACUGGGAGUAAAAAUGAUCUUUAAGAUCACUUAAGAUUAAUGGUAAACAUAGAUAAACCAAACAUGGAUAUAAACAUCAUAACAUGCCGUUGGGCUUGUUAACCGAUCAUCUUUAGUACUGGUUUAUAAUUGGUCUGAAAGAUUUAUGAUUUGCCUGACCGAGUAAAGAUCGGUUCUCCAGUAGUAACUUAAGGACACGAUCGCGAAGUCAGGGAAAUUGAAGUAAUAAAAAGAAGAAUGAUUCAUCAUGUUUUGUUUGAAUAUCGAUUUUACAACCAGUCCUGAUUCCUGAAAAUUAUAACUUCAUUUUAAAAUAAAAUUGGAUUUGAAAAAGUUGAUUAACAAGGAUUUAUUUGGAAGGAGAUAAGUUAAAAUCCCAGUAAGAAGGUGAAAGUUUUAUUGUAGUAUUAUGUGAGUCACAAGCUAGUAAUCAUGCUGGUUUUAAUCUUCACAAUCAGUACAUUCUGAAAUUCAUGUUAAUUUAAACAUUUUCAUACAAUUUGUUCCAAUCGAAAAGUAAUAUCUACUCAGAGCUUCAGUUGAGAAUAAUUUGAAACAAAAUCAAGCAUAUGGUGUCAAAAGAGGUAAAUUCGGGACUUAGGCCCUGUUUCUUUCAGCUUGGGAUUAUUAUAAUCCAGAUUAUUGGGAGUAAGCUGAAAGAAACAGACAACUUAUUGAAAUAGCUUAUUAUAAUCUGAAGCCCAGCUUAUUAUAAUCUGAUAAGCUCAUUUAGGUGAGCUUUUUCCAAAUUAUUGGGUGAAAAAUUACUACCAUGCUACCCCACUCCCUCUAUAGACUUGCGAACCCAAUAAUCUAGACUCUAAUAAUUUAGGAAAGAAACAACUAACGGCUUAUUCUACUAUAGAUUAUAAUAAUCUAGUUUAUAGUAAUCUGACUUAAUCAUUUAGAUUAUAAUAAUUUUAAACUAAAAGAAACAGGGCCUUAAUUAAGGAAGAAGUGGGCAAAUAAAGAAGCUCUGACCAAAGCCCUACAGGGCCACAUACCUAGUACGAGGUAGUUGGGUCAAACAAGUAACCAAAUUAUAUCUUUUAGAUAAAGAAACAAGUAACCAAAUUAUAGUUGUUUAAGACCCAUCAAACAAGAUGUAAGUAAGUAGUAUUUGCCUUGGGCUGGGUUUUUAGGAUGUCAAUACAGACUUACCUUGGGCUGGGUUGAGUAGUCGCAAGUGCAACGGGCUGAAAUAAAUUUAGGGCUUUCAGACUUUUGACCCACCUCAAAUUGGCAUGACUCUGUAUCUAUCAAAAAUUGACUUGACAGGAAAAAUAAAAGAACAGAUCUCCACCAAAAUGGAAUCAUGUACUCGAUACUUACAAAGAGAUGUGCAUUACAAUCACAUGCAAACUUGGGUAGAAAUUAUGAAGACCAGAGUGGCAGCUCAUGUUUUUCCACUUAAACAGAAAUGAGGAGUAAGUCCUCCUGUUUGCUCAACUAUUCAGAGAAGAUACAAGGAGAACAACACAAAAAAAAAUAAAAAUAAAAAUAGAAAUAGAAAGUUCACAGUACAUGCAAAAGAAUAGCUAAUCUUUUAACAAAGAACCCUGUUUUGCACCAUCUUAGCAGCGGUUUUUAUGUGGUCAGUACGGCAGUCAAUAGUCAAUGAAUUACACCCCUGCAAUCUAAGAGUAACAAACAUUCAAAGAAAAUGUCAUGUGCCUUUUUUGUCCGCAAAGGUGAAUGCUGAACAUGUGAGGAUACAAAAAUAGUGAAAUACUACAUCCGUUCAAAAAUGUUACUAACUACUACAGAAAGAAAUAUUUUAUAGGACUAUGAAUCUAGACAGGAAAUGUCCAGGUUAUAUUUUGGGACAUAGGUGGUUCAGUAGUAAACUACAUACUCAAGAAAGCACCUAGGCACUGGUUUUCCUUUCUCAAAUAGUAAUCCCUACAAACCUUGCAUUCUGCUGAAUAGGUCAACCAAGGUUUAAGACACUAACUAGGAUUCUAGGAAUGCACUAGGUAGCAUGUUAACAGCAGAAAUUAACUUCAUAAAAGCUGGAAUUUUUCAUUUGCUUGAGAACAGUCAUACACAUCUUUUUCCUUCCAAAAGUAAACAUAUAUUAUUCAGUCUCAUUUGAUUUACAAAAGUACAAAGCUGAGUAGCAUGGGACAAUGAACGUUCCGCUACCAAAGCACAGGUGACAGGAAAAUUAUAGUGCUAUUCUGAUGAACAAUCAACUCCAAAAUUUACAGGAUCACUCACUGGGCAUUCCUAGAGAAAUUCAUGCAAACCUACAAAACAAAGAAACCAAGGAUCAAGCCAUGAAACUAACAUAAUGCAUUUAGAAAUUCAUAAUUCACUACUAAGAAUUGUGACUGGCCUCAUGAUCAACUCAAAAUUGCCCUUCCAAGCAAGCAUGUCAUGGGUAAUAAGAGAAACAUUCAGCAGUGGAAGCCAAUACACAAUGUAGAGACGACGUAAUCUGAUCAGAGUAAACAACAAUAGAUGAUCAGGAUGGACUAAACAGUUUACAUGUGCAGCCUUCAUUAUAAGAACACUAGGAACAAUUUUCAUACAUAUUAGAUGUUUGACUUCCUUACCAGACUUUACUCAUCUAGCACCUUACCAGACUUUACUCACCUUGCUAGAUGUUCAUAUGUUGAUGAGUUCAUUUGCAAUUGCCUGGUGGCACUAGCAUCCAUGGAAAUAAAUAUAUUUUUGUUAAUCAAAAGAUUUAGAAGAACCAUUAAGAUAAUGUCAACCUUGUCAAAACAUGUACCUGCCUCCAUCUAGUUUUCAUAUUAUAACUGUUGUAAGCAUCAUGCUUCAAUAUUAUCUCAUGCCACAAGAGUUUUGUUAUUAAUCAUUGUGUUUGUUGGUCAGACAUGUUUAUUACUUUAAUUUUGUCUUGUGUGCCUGUAAUUGAAUAACUCUACCCUGCUUUCUCACUUGAUAGUUUUGGCAAAGGGAGGCAGCAAGCUUGAGACAACAACUGCACAACUUGCAAGAAAAUCAUCGGUAUGGUCUGAAAAACCCUGCAAAAUUUCCAAGCAUAUUAUUCAUUAGAAACUUGUUGGAAAGAGAAGCGCUAGCAUGUACUAUCUGAAACCAGCAAGAUAGUAAUAAAGACAAAAGCCAAGAAUCAAUGCCCUACAAGUAAGCAUUAUCAUGUGCAAGAUUACAAGCACCUACCAAUCAACCCAAAUACCUGAGACAACAAGGAUACUAUUAAACACAAAUAAACCAAAUCAGAACUACUCUGCUGUGAACUCAGUUUCCAGUUCUAAGAAAAAAAAAAUAGAUCCUCCAUAUCAGUCUAUAGAUCAGUCCUAUACUCCUAUUGGUCAGUAUUGGUAUCGCUCCCUAUUGUAUGGUGCAUAUUGAUCCCAUAAAUGACUAGAAACUAUUGAAAGGCCAUUGAUUUCACACGCAAGCAUAGAGAACAAGAUAUUGCGAAGCCAUAAUUGCUACUAAUAACAAGACAAGAAAAAGGUAUCACAUAUUGGUUUGCUAUUAUAGGCAGUUGAUGGGCGAAGAUCUAUCUGGGCUGAAUGUUAAGGAAUUGCAAUCUCUAGAGAAUCAGCUGGAAAUAAGUCUACGUAGUGUCCGUACAAAGAAGGUCAACCCACUUAUCAUAUUUCUCGUUAUGCAUUGAUCAUUUAUAAAAUAAACUUAACUGACAUGGUGUUACUGUUACUGCUGCUGUUUUCAGGACCACGUCUUGAUUGAUGAAAUUCAUGAACUGAAUCGGAAGGUCUCUAUAGCAUUUUAGUUUUUGUAAUCCUCCAUGAAGGAUGUUUAUUAUUAUUAUUAUUACUUUAGUAUACUGACUCUACUUGGUUGCAGGGAAGUCUAGUUCACCAAGAAAACAUGGAAUUAUACAAGAAGAUCAGUUUAAUUCGUCAAGAAAAUGCUGAGUUAUAUAAGAAGGUAGCCAGCAUGUUAGAUAAAGAAAACAUAGUGUUGCCACCUAACCUGCUUAGCACAUACUGACUUAUAUUGUAACAAUGUUUUAGAUCUACGAGACUGAAGGACCAAGUGAAGUCAAUCGGGAUUCACCAACUCCUUACAAUUUUGCAGUAAUUGAAAAAACAAAUGUUCCUGUGCAACUUGGACUCAGCACACUACCACAACAUAGUGACGCCGAACAAUCAACUGCUCCUAAGCUAGGGUAACACUUAGCUCUACGUAUUUUCAGUCCAUUUGCAAAUCCAAUCUUCAUUGGAGUAACGAAUGUUCAAACACAUGCAGGUUACAGUUGAAUCCAUGACCAGAAAAACAUUGUUUUGCUACACCCUUGUAUGCUGAAGGGAUACUAUUUGCUGUCAAGAGUUGAUACUCAGAUCAAGAAAAAAAAAACUAUUCAUGCCAUAGUGAUUGAGAAAUGGACUUGUAUACUGGAAAUAAAUGCCACAGUGGAAUUGAGUUGUGGAAUCCAGGCAAUGAGUGUUUUAUGAUUCAAUUUUUCCAUGUAUUUUUCAUAUAUUAACCAGUGCGGGCUUGUGUAAAAAAUAUAACCAGGCAAGGAAAAUUAGCUGUAUUGUGCAUAUGGAGCAAAUUUCAGGCGUUACUACCAUUAAAAUCAUGACAUGCUGUAAGCAAAUAUCUUGUAGACCUUUAUCUACAUAGAUUUUUUUCAGUAGGGGCCUCCCUACCGUUUCAAAAGAAAAAGAAUGCAGAUGAUUGAUAUUUCGAAUGCCUUCAGACAUGGAUAAUUCAUAACUAUUGCGAUGUGGAACCUUCUUAAUUUUCAAUUUUUAACACGCUAUCUACAAGUGGAAUAUCAUAAUCAUUUGCUUGUCUUCAUUAGUAAGACAAGUUUGAAUGCACGUGCCAAUGUGAGACAACCGUACCAUAUAACGGCCAUUAGUGCUAGAUUGGCUUUGCACCAUGAAAACAUUGGUUUUACAACCUACUGUGAGGACAUUAAAAGCAGAGAUACUCUAGCUGGCCUGUUUGGAGAUAAACAGUCGAGAAAUAUUGUGAAGACAAUCAAAGUGUUUAUUCCUGGGAUGCAGUCCAAUCCCAAAUGAUGGAUCCAGAACAAAGAAAAUAUACCUUCCAUAUGCCUAUGUGGGGCUAGAAAGCCCAAGUGCCCAACAAAAGCAAGGGUCCAGUAAUCCCUAAUCCCAGAAGUAUUGAGGGCUUUUGAGUGAAAUCCAGCACAUGCGGGCCAAUAUCCUACCAGAAUGGCUCAAGCAAGGGUUCUGGUCAUAUUGCAAGACAGCCCAGAAAGCUUUGAGGUUUGAGCUAAGAAAAAAAAUAUUUAUACAUGCAGGAAUUGCCCUAGAGGGAUGGCCCAGAAAGCUUCGAGCUAAGAAAGAAAAAAUAUCUACCAAGAAAAACUGUCUAGAGUUAUUAUUCAAGCUUCAUACAUGUACAUACUGAAAUCAGUGGCAAAUCUAGGAUAAAAAUUGAGGUGCUUAUGUAAUUUGCAUUGAUAGGUCAAAAUAUGAAAAAUUGAUACAUAUUCCAAUUAGCGCACCAAAAUCUAAAAUAAUUCAUAAAGCAGAGAUGUGACCACCUAAUCAAAUUAUAAAUUAAUUCUAUCCUUGGACGUAGAAAAAGAGUAACCAUGGUAACAAUUGCACCACAAGCCCAUAACCAACAGGUACUAGUCUUCUAGAAGCUAUGUAAACCCAUCAAUUACAGAAGCCAUGAUCUAAUCCCAUCACCCAUUGGCCCUUGCCAUUUUUGCUGUACUGUACGUAGGCACUAGGCAGUAGGCUACUAGCGCCCAGACUAGCCACAAUCGUGGAUUCACCCUGACUGAAAUUUCAGUGGCACCCAACAAAAUCCACAGUUGGGCAUCAACUAACAAGGUUAACACAUCUACAACAGCGUGGAUAUAAAAAUACAUGAUCUUAUAGAUAAAUUUCUAUAAUUUUCAAGAAUCGGUUAUAAGAUGAAUCUACAUCAAUCCCAGUAACAUUUCUAAUUAAAACAAAUCUUUACUGCUUCAAGAGUUAGUGGUUGCAAUGAGCCGUUUUGUACUCAUCUCCUCUCUUCAAAGGUGUGAGAGUCAUCUUUGCAAAAGCAUGGCUACAUCCAUUGCAAUUCAUGAAAACAUCACUAUCCAUCGAAAAACACAUGCACUUGGCUAGUUCAAUACAAAUUAAAAACAAAUAUUUGCACAUGCACUUGGCUAAUUCAAUAGAAAUUUAAAACAAAUAUUUGCUCAUUCUGAACCUUACAGGAUUUUUUUAAUGGAGAGUGAAUUAUGGAGGUACCUAAAGAUUUUCUUGCAAGAUGUGCAGUUGCUGCCACAAGCUUGUCACCAUCCCCUUGCAUGAAUCUGUCAUAAAGCAGUAGAUCGAAUUUAGAGCAACAUUUUGGGAGUGGAGCUGAAGUAACUGGAACUAGUAGAUGUAACAGAUCAGCACAAUCGCAAAGAAUAACUAGAUGCCAUGUAGUAUUGGCUCACACCAAAAACUGUACUCUUAUCAAUUAAAAAAACUGCUGUUCUUUCGUGUUAAUAUAGCUGAGUUUGCCAUGGAAGCAGUGAACCAUGCAUUCAUACUGAUUUUGCACAUACAAUAAAAGGACCUCCACAGAGAAGAAACAUAUGAAUGCUUCCUCGCUCUAUCUAAUCAUAGAGAGGAAAACUCUCAAAGUAAAGCCAUACGGGUAAUUUGGAAAACAAUCAUAGUUUCAUCUUCCUCAUUAAAACAGUAACAUAUGCAUGCAUCUGCCUGAUAGCCUAGCGAAAAUUGAACAAGAUCCAGCCCAAUAAUUGAAUUUUCUAAAACAUGCAGGCAAAUUUCACCGUUUUCUAAAAGGAAUUUAUGAUUUAGAUCUACUGCGUCCUACAGUUUAGCAAAAACACAUCAAACUCCUAAGACCAAUUCUUCAAAUGCGCGCAGGUUCACAACUUGUUGGCACUAUAAUGUUAGUAUCCAAGGGACAAAGCCAUUAACAAAUCUGUUACCAGAGAAACAUCACAUGGAAGGAUGAUGUUAGAAGGGAAGCGGAGACUGGAGUUUGUGUUACAUACUUCUUCUUAUAGCACUGAAAUGUAGCUCCUACAUCGCAUUAUUAUUCAAACAAAAGUGGACACAAUCCAACACCACUACUUAAUUUGUAAAUCCUGCACAGUUUUGUAAACAAAAUUCAGAAGUUCCCGACAGAAUCGUGCCCUUUUAAAUCAACUGCCACUAAUGCACGCAAGCUGAUGAACCAUAAUAUAUUACCACCAAACUUUAAGUUGACUAUAAUUUCCUGGCAUUGUGGUCUCACUCUCCAAAACCCCCCAUAAUUCCCUCGAGUGUCUGCGCACGCAAGCAAACAGUCACAGUAUGACGUAUGCCCUGAUAUGCUAAUACUGUACCCCGAAGGGCUUUUCUAGAUCCAAACGGAAAAAAUCGAAACACGGCAGAAGCCCGAGCUUCUCACAUCGUCCUCCAAUGCAAGCUAUAGCAACGGCACGUAUACAAGCAUAAAAACAAGCACAUGAACAUACUUUUCACUGAAAGGGAAAAGCUCGGACGCUCACCUGAGAAACCACGCGCGCGCCGCACCGGCACCGUCGAGGGGAGGGGACGGCGGGAGCUAGCGGAGAAAGGCAUUGCGAUUUAGGUGGUGGCUGGGGCCGGGGCCGGGAGAGUGGUCAGGGAGGGGAAUUCACGAGAUCGGUGCGGCUGCGCCGCGCCGUCGCGCGCGGCGGUGCCGGCGAUGGCGGCUCAAAAGGGGGAGGAGCGUGCGCCGGAUCUGGGCGGCGGACGCGGCGUGAGGACGGCGCGCGGGCGCGCGCGCGCGCGGGUGCCCGUGGCGCGGCAUGUGGCCGUGGAAGCGAAGCAAAAGCCGCGACACAUGUUGCUCCCGGCGGAGUAGAGGCGAAGAGAUAUCUGAGCUGGCCGCGAUCCAUCGAUCCAUCGAUCUAUUAAUGCCGCGAUAUGUAGGCGCCUCGCCGAAAAUAUCUAGGGGAUUUCCGCGAUUAAACAAUGCGGCGGAAGGAGCGAUCCACCGAGGGCCACGUCGCCCACCCCUUCCCCCCCUUCACCUCGGGAUGAUGCUGUGCCGUCCGUGACCGUCGGAUGGAGGAGGUGGAAGGCACGGAUCUUCGCGCGUGCCGACACCUGUCCCGGCGAGGAAGCGGGUUAACGGGUCCCCGCUCCAGAGAAGGGUCUACAGAAAUGAUCGACUGUACACACGUGUCUAGUGGUUACUCAAAAUAAAAGAUUUCGUCGGGUGGUGGUAGUGAUCCACUUGUCUGUGCUCUAGGCUAGUUGUACAAGUAGGGACAUAAGUUUUAUUAUUUUUCGAAACAUAGCACUAAUACAUGAGCUUGUAUAAAGAUACACAUACUAGUGAAUCUUCCUGUAUCGCGGAAGCUGGAUUAUUACGGGUCAUAUUUGGUCUUUAGGUUAUUCUUUUUAAUACACACUCACACACAUGAUUCUUAUGUGAGUAUCUCAGAAAACUAAACUGGUAUAUCCUGACAUUCAUAAAAUCACCAUAUAUUACUCGAUAUUGAUAGGUACGCCGUCUAUCACUGGAAAAAUAAUUAGCUAUAAAUACGACCACUCCUACUUAAAUAUAGGAUUUUAAUCGGGAUGAACAUGUCCUAUCAAAGAAAAAACUAAUCAUUUGAGGGCAUUUUUAAACAAAAGAAACGGUUUUAGUACAAAAGGCCUUUCCAGUACGGUCCAUCACUCACGGACAGUGUUGCUCUGGCUAACACAAAUUCUAUUUCCCUUACUGCUUAAGAUUAGAAAAAAAGAACGGGUACGUAGCAUCAGUUUCUGCUCUGUUAAAUAUGUCCAUUGGAAUUUCUAGUGGCACCUAAUAUAGUAUUUUGUUGCAACAUAGUGCACGUGUCUCACGACGUACUACCUCUAUUUUUUAUUUUUUAAUAGAUGACGCCGUUGACUUUUUCUCACAUGUUUAACUAUUCGUCUUAUUCAAAAAUUUUAUGCAAAUGUAUAAGAUAUAAAUCACACUUAAAGUACUAUGAGUGAUAAAACAACUCACAACAAAAUAAAUUAUAAUUACGUAAAUUUUUUUGAAUAAAACGAAUGGUCAAACGUGUGAGAAAAAGUCAACAGCGUCAUCUAUUAAAAAACGGAGAGAGUAGUAAUCUUUUUGUUAUUUAGAUUCUUUUUGCUAUAUUUUAUUUAAGAAAGUAAACUCAUACUCCUUGCAAACCUAUAAAAGCUUAUGCUUAUCAUAGGGCAAGUUCCACUAGUUCUCUUGCAUGUCCGAACUCCGAAAAACCACCUUUCAUGUUGCAAAAAGUUUUGGAUCAACAAACAAAUAUGUUAUAAAUUUAUUCUCGGAUUCAUUAUCGCAAACAUAAAUAUCGCAUUUUCUAGAUAACUUCAUUACGUAAAAAAAAUAUGAACAAUAACUAUCAUUUUUUAUUUACAAUUAUUUUAUCGUUGUCAAAUUUGACAUAAUAGAUAAAUGUCCAUACGAAUAAAAGGAAUUACUAUAUUAUAAUAUUCUAAAAUAAAUAAAAAUGUUAUUUUAUGAAAUAUGUUGCACAUGUUCUACGUAGGAAAUAUUCACCUUAAUUGGGUUUUUUAUGCGUGACUGUACAGUUUGAUUUUUAUUGUUUCUUAAUAGAGUAAAUUGUAUUGGUGGUAUAUAAACUUGUAGUAUGUAAACUUGUAAAUUGUCCGUUUCAGUACACGAACUUGUUUAGUUCGUGCGAACGAGGACCAAAAUAUCAUUGCUUGGUUUUUUUCAUCUUUUUUCUACUAUCACUAUGUCAUAUUCUAUUUUUUAUUGGAGAAGUGUACUUCUAAUAGCCACUUUUUCAUAUAUAUGUUUACAUAGUAUCCUAAUCAGCUCCUGAAUCAAUAAGAUUAGCCAUGUAGUGUCCUUUUCGCCUUCCUCCGCACGCACCAUACAAGUUCAUGCACCAAAACAAGCAUUUUACAAGUUCAUGCACUAGAUUGCAUCCACCUGACAAGUUCGUGUACGGGCAAUGCAAUUUACUCUUCUUAAUAUUAAGAAGUUAAAGAGUUGAUUUACACAGUUUUUAUACUUGUAUAAAACCUUCAGUUUAGAUAAUAGGUGAUGUGAGAUUCAUUGUCACCAACAUUUUUUCCUUUUUAAAGAGUACAAACUUUUUUUUGGAAAAGUAUAGAUAUUUCUCUUCUUGAUUGGUUGAUGAGAGGUUGUGGUGCUGUUGGUGUUCUCAUUACCCCUACCCAAGUUUAUGACCUCUUAGGCUCAAUUUUGGUGCCUACCGCUUUAUAUAGCCAGAAGGUUUUAUUUUAACAAAGGGAGUAUGUAUUGAACAUAGGGUAAUUUUCUUUCCAGCUUCAACCCUGUUCAUAUAUAUGUACAGAGAAAUUAAUUAUGUCGCUAGAAAGUUAUUACAUUUCUAAUUAACGGCAAUAAUGUUGACACCUAUUAACAAUUGUUCUUUACCUAAUUAGAGUAGCUCUUAAAGAUUCAUCAAGUGACUUUGAUUAUCCAUUAAUCACCAUGACUCGCAUAAAAAGUGUACUAUUUAGGGUUUAGGAUAGCUGAAUUAAUAAAUUAUUUGAUUUGUGUGAUAGCUAUUUGAGGGUAUGAAUGGAUGAAUUAACUUAUAUAAAGUUCAAAUUUUAUUUUUAUAAAGGGAUUCCAUGAUAUAUUUUUUUUCACGAAAAGAACCAUUUAGAAACUUAGGAAGCGUGCUAAUGAAAAACCAAAAUAUUGAACAGAAAACAUGUCUUAGGGCUGGUUUGGUUUGUGCCUUAUCAAUUUUUGUCAAUGCUAAAUUUUGACAAGUUUUGGCAUGGCUAAUUUUGGCAAGGCAAAGUUGUGUUUGGAUUGAAGCCAAAAUAGUGUAAGUUAACUAUUGAAAUUGCCUAUUGAAGAUGCACUUAAACCCCCUAGUGGAUUUUGGUGAUUAAUGACAAGGUGGUUAAAGGGAAGUAACGUGUUUAUCAAGUUUAGUCCCAAAGUAUGUUGUGAUGGCUAAGAAUACAUGGAGACCCCCCCCAAUUCGAAUGUUCCUAAAUGCGAGAAGAACCGAGUGGUUAGACUAGGUUUUACACUUUCAAAAUUGAGUUUGGGGAAAACCGUACUAUUAAGAGGGGUUUCAAGUGUGGUUCUAGGGUAUACAAAGUGCUCUUAGUCAUAUCCAUGAGUCAAAAUAUUUUUGGAAUCAUUUUUGAAAAAUGAUUUUCUCCCCGGGACAGAGAGGGCUACCCGGAGGUUCUGGCCAGAACUUCCGGGUGCCGUUUAAAAGCAAAAAUUUCCUAAGUGCUGCUUGGAAGUUCCUGGCACUUUUGCCCGGAACCUCCUGGCAGGUUUCCAGUUCAAACUUGUGAGUAACGGCUAGAUGACGUCACCUAGCCGUUAUAUAUAUGGAUUUCGUCCCCAGCUCACCCUUUGGCCAUUCCACUUCAGUUCUUUCAUGUUCUAGGGUUUUCUAGCCUCUCCUAAGCUCCCUUUGCUUCCUCCACUUAAAUCUAGAGCCUAUCUUGAGAGAUUGAGAGAAUAGAUGAGAUUGUAGGAGUGUUUUGGAGAUGGUUUGAAGAUUGGGUUUGAUUGAACACUUUGGAUACCUUGUGGGCCGUCACUUGGGCUUAUUACUCUUGGAGAUCUUCUCCUAGACGGUUAGGAGUCGCCCGUGAGCUUCCAAAGAUCUUGUGGAUGUCCCGGGAAGGUUUGUGAAGGUUUUCCUCACCUCCGCAAGGAAACGAGGUAAGUGAGUAAAGAUUCUUGUGUUGAGUUUUCAGAGGUUGUCCUAGGUAGAGCAACUUGCAUUUGUGGUCUUUUCUAGAAGGAAUUGUGAGUUGGAUCUUGGUGGUCACUCAAUUCUAGAAAAUGACCUAGAAGUGUUGAGUUGAAGGCUGUGGACCUCUUCUGGGAUCUUUGCAUAAGUGAGGCAAGGGGUUAAUCGAGACCCGACUCUUUGCAGCACCUCAACGGAGAGUAGGAUCCGUGUGAUCCGAAUUUUGGGAAAAAAAUCUCCUUUGUCUCUCUUGUGCAUGUUCUUUGAUUGUGUCUGCUGGUAUCGUGUGAUCUAUAACUUGUGCAUCUCUCUGCCUGAAUUUGCCGCUAGGACCUGUUUUUCUUCUCAGAUUUCGAUUGUAUCUGUUGCCCGGAAGUUCUUGGCUCAAGAACUACGAAAGUUCCGAGCUACUCUUCACUGUUCGGAAGUUCCAGUAUUCAUUACCAGGAGGUUCUGGGACUUGGUAAAUUUAACCGCUGCGAUUGUUGAGAAAAUUUCAGGAAAGCCCAUUCAACCCCCCCCCCCCUCUAGGCUACAUCUCUGCGCGUUCACCUAUUUUCUUAGGCAUGCCAAAAUUUGGCUUCAAACCAAAAUUUGGCAUGCGAAAACUAAACUCUAUUGAAAUUGCCAAAUAUUGGUAAGGCCAAUUUAGGCCUCAAACCAAACCAGCCCUUAAACUCCCUUGUAACACCGUGUCCUCAUAAGAGGUCAAUUGAUAUUGGUUAAUAUUAAGCUCACAUUCAUAACAUAAUGAUUUAUUUCGCCAUUAUGAAUACAUAGUACAAAAACUAAAUACAACCUAGCAUAAUCCAUUAUAAUUAUGUAAUCAACUCUCUGUUCUAGUUUAAACGGAAACAAGUAUAGGAAAAACUCAACCCGCAGUGGUGGAUUCUUCUCUCCACAUCCCACCUUCAAUUUGUUUUAUGUUAUUAACAAAAUAAAUUGUUAUCCAUAUCUGACUUAAUAGGUGGCAAAGAGGUAGCGCUAGAGCGGUCAUGAUCACCUUAGCAAAUCGUCUUAGUUGACUUAGAUACGACGCUUCCUCGUGCAUGUGGGAGUCAAAGAUGCAUGCAUGCGUUGUUUAGAGGGCCAGAGAGAUAUCUUUGGAGACUUUGUUUAUUAAAAAAAUUAGAUUGAUGGUUUAAAAUAUUGGGUUCAUCAUCGGUUUACGUGGAAUCAGUGGGUAUCGAUUCAUGGUUUUAGUGUAAAUUAGUUAAUAUGGAUCUUAAAUUGUUAAUUUAUUGAGUAUAUAAUAUAAUGGUGUAGUACAUUAUUUGAAAAUAAUAGUCCAAACUAAUUAGUCCCCUAAUUUAAAUGAAGACUAUAUUACAUUAUUAUUAAUUUAGUGGGUAAAUAUAAUGGUGCAAACUUUAUUAAUAAACAUUUUAGAGCUAAUUAGGUUAUGCAUUUUUAGAAAAAUUAUAUGAUGAUAUAAUAUUUAUGAAAGUAUGAUUAUUUAAAAAAAUUUAUCACUAAUAAUAAGUGUAUCCAUGAAAAAAAGAAAAAAAGUACGUAUGUAACUACCUAUGUGCGUACCUAUGCAACAGGAGGAGAGAUCGAGGUGGAGCCGAAUUUUCCCAUCUAAGCACAUGUGCCCCCUAAUUUCAAAUGUGAGCAUGUAUUGUCCAGAGUUCUAUUUCUAAUCGAAUUAGCUAGUACAAAGCAAAUGAUCCACCAACAUGUAUUCCUAAUAUUUCAAUUACAGUACCAUGUUUUUUUCUCUCAUUGCUGAUGCCGCUUCUAUGUAAAACAAAUUAAUAUUUGUUAGCACAAAUUAUGAUUUUGAUGAUCCAAGCAAAUGGGUUAGAUUUGAGCUUACUGUUGUAGUUCCAAUUUCCAAAACGAAAACUCAAGACUGACGGCAUGAUGGCAGGGUGCCCUAUCUCGUAAUGGUUGACCUAAUCAAUUGCUAAUUGUAUUUGGGUUUUCUUUUUCAACAACAAACAGUGUCAAGUAGGCUUAAUAAACAAGCUGCUACGAGCAAGUGAUUUGUCAUAACGAUCAGCAGCCCAUCAGUCUGUUAUAUUUUGUUGCAAGUCCGAUGGGACGACCACUGCACACACACGCGAGCUUUUGAUUAGAAACAAAAUUGAAUUAGACGGUUGCAUGUGCUUUAGAUGGGAAAAUUUUGGGGAAUGCAUGGCUGGUCUUCGACACAAACAACCGGAUCCCCUUUUAAUUAUUUGGUAGAGCCAAUUCUUUAGUAGGAUUAGAGUUCAUAUUAUCUAGUUGGGUUGCUAGCAAUAUCCUCAAUUGAUACAUGGUGAAUAAAGUUUCAGAGUGUUGCCAAAUUGAAUAUUGGGUAUUUUCCAAUGAUUUGGCUCCACUUUAAAUCACACUACUAUUUAAAGUUGUCGAAUAAUUCGUUUGGUAAAUUUCGGUUUAGUUCCACCGCGGUCAAAAAAAAAAGUUGAGGAUUAGGCUUUCAAUGCAAAAAAAAAAAGUUUAUUUUGCAUCACUCUGUUUAUCCCAAAUCCCAAAAUAAAUUUAUUUUUCAGUAGUCAUUGCAUCGGGAUAAAUGCAACGAGAGUAGAUAGAAUAGAAAAUAAUUACGUCGGGAUUUAAUAAAGUUGGGUCAUUCUAGAUUCUUUUAUUGGUAUAUGUGGGAUGGAUGAAAAUAAAGUUAUUUUAGGUCGAAAGGAGUACACGAUAAAUAGAUGCUUGUCCAACACCAAAUUGAUCAUCUCACGGGACCAGGGGUGCACAAAUAGUGGAAAUUUGUAUUAUACUGAAUUCGGAAAUCAUUUCUAUGUGCCAUGGUUUACGAAACAGCAUACACAUCAAGAAAUGAAAAUUGCACAUACAUGCAUACAUAUUACAACUACCUGCUGGUAGGUUUAUAUAAAAAGGAACCGAGGGAAACCAACAAGAACAAGUUCCCCAUCUGCUAAGCCUGGCUAUGUGAUCUACGAACCAUCAAAUUCUUCUUGCAAUUUGCAUUACGCGUAAUAAGUUAUAGACAUUUUGAAUUAUUUUUUACAAACCCGCAAGAAAAAUCUGGCUCGUAUAGUCGUAUGUAGGGCAUAUAUAGCAAGCUGCCCUGCCCUGCCCUGCCUUGCCCAUCUCUUGCAGAGAAGCCGCUGAUCACUCGAUCGAUCAGCGUGUCAUCCCGGGGAACAUGUGCGGCGGCAUGGUCAUCGCCGGCUUGUGACCCUGCCUCUCCAUGUUCGCGUGCCAUCCUGCACAAAACCAACGAAAUCGUCGUUGUCACGAUCAACCAACCAUAUAUAGCAGUACUAGUAAAUUCCAUCAGAAAAAUGGUUGUCGUUUUACCGAGGUUCAUGUCGAAGCCGCGCUUCUUGAGCUCGCGGUACUCCUGGGAGAGGGCGCAGGGCUCGCAGAAGAAGUGGACGGGGCAGUCGGCGCAGGGCUUCUCCUGCAGGCCGUACUGGGACCGCAUCUUGGCGCGGUAGAAGCAGGAGUAGACGCAGUUGCAGCCCGUGAGGAGCAUCACCAGCGCGUACAGCGCCCCGCUCGUCCCGCACGACGACGACCCCCGGUCGAUGAUCUCCGCGAUCUGCCCGAACGUGAUGCACGGGCACAGGCACGUCACGCAACCUGCCGCACGCACAACGAUCAAUCAUCGAUCAGCGCACACACACCAUGCCGAUCGAGCAAGAACACAACCGUAUCGGGGGGGGGGGGGGGAUUACUACUUACAGUUGCCGCAGUCGUCGAAGCAGUUGAAGAGGCCGGUGGACCAGGCGGCGAGGGGGACCUUGCCCUGCAUGGCGAAGGCGGUGGUGACGCCUCCACCGACGUCCUCCGGUUUCGAGUACAUGCUGCCCCGGCGCGGCGCCUUUGUCGAUCUCUCGCUCUCCGGCCUUCGGGUGUGAGGCUCUCUCUCUCGAUCAGAGGGUAACCGGCCGAAUCGCGGACUGGUCGUCCACCGUCCUCCGGCUUCGAACAGUUGCUCUUCAGCGAAAGCGGCGGCGUCGACGAAGUUUACGGGUAGUGCGCUAGUGUACUAGUAGUACAUGGGUCGAGACUUUUUUGGGCGUGAGAUAGGAUUGAUUUGCUGGCUGGUGAUGUUGAUCGAGUCGUCGUUCGCGUGGUGGCAUGAAUGCGUGAUGGUGCUGGGUAGGGUGUGGUUCCGUGUGUGACGGGGGUCAAGUCGUCGCCUGGGCCCCAGACGCUUGCCGCGACUCGGCGGCAAGCUUUGGUUUGACUGGCCACAGCCUUGUUUCUUGACUGGUGGUGGAGGGAGUCGCUUGCCAGAGUCCAAAAGGACACCGCAAUUUUUGCGAUUUGGGUUGGGGGCUGGCUGGGAGAGUGGUCAGGGAGGGGAAUUCACGAGAUCGGUGCGGCUGCGACGUCACGCGGUCGCGCGCGGGCGGCGCGGCGGUGCCGGCGAUGGCGGUUCAAAAGGGGGAGAGUGCGCCGGAUCUGGGCGGCGGGAGGACGGCGCGCGCGCGAGAGAGAGAGAGUAGGCGCGAGAGAGCGGGUGCCCGUGGCGCGCCGUGGCGCGGCAUGUGGCCGUGGAAGCGAAGCAAAGCCGCGACACAUGUCGCUUCCGGCGGAGGAGGAAAGGCGAAGAAAUAUCUGAGCUGGCCGCGAUCCAUCGAUCCAUCGAUCUAUGCUGCGAUAUGUAGGCUCCUUGCCGAAAAUAUCCAGGGGGUUUCCGCGAUUAAGGCUGUGUUAUUCCCCCUAUUUUCCCAACACACCUCUCUCAGUUUUCCACGCGCACGCUUUCAAACUACUAAACGAUAUGAUUUAUAAAAAAACAUUCUAUAUGAAAGUUGUUUAAAAAAAUCAUAUUAAUCUAUUUUUCAAAAAAAAUAAUUAUACUUAAUUAAUCAUGCAAUAAAACGAACUUCGUUUUGCGUGCCGGGGAGGAGGGGUACCCCCUCUCCGAACACAACCUAAACAAUGCGGCGGAAGGAGCGAUCCACCGAAGGCCACAUCCCCACCCCUUCCCCGAGAAAACGGAGAUAGGUUGGGUUGGAAUAAAAUACCACUCAAUACAAUACACCGGAUAAAAUGCCACUCAAUACGUUGCCUAAUGGAUGAAAUACCACUUUAGAGAUUUUUGUGCCCAAAAUGUCCCUGGAGAGAGAGAGGGGGGGGGGAGAAGGGAGCGUUGGGGAGGGAGGCACCGGAGGCCUCGCUGGGCGGUGGCGGCGGCGGCCGGCAAGAACAGCGGGGGAGGAGGAUAGGAUGGCGGGCAGCGGAGGAAGAGGCGACAGCGUCGGGAAGGAGGACUGGGCGGUGAGCCUACUCGCGCGUUCACCGCUGAGGGCAGGGGGAGGAGGAGGCGACGCGGGAGGAGGAGCGCCGGGGAGGGCCGGCCGGGCGGCGCUAGAGGCCUCGCCAGGUGGUGGCGGCAGCGGCCGGCGGGGACGACGGGGGGAGGAGAACAGGGCAAAGGAAGAUGCGACGGCGGUGGAGCCUCAGAUCAUCGUCCCCGUCGCUGCCCGGCCGCUGCCGCUCGCCGCGCCGUCCUCCUCUCCCCACGUCGUAUCCUCCUCCUCCCCCCGUCGUCCCCGUUGGCAGCCGCCACCACCACCGCCCGGCGAGGCCUCCGGCGCCGACCAGCAGGCGCUCCCUUCUCCCUCUCUCUCUCCAGGGACAUUUUGGGCACAAAAAUCUCCAAAGUGACAUUUUAUCCGGUAGACAAUGUAUUGAGUGGCAUUUUAUCCAGUGCAUUGUAUUGAGUGGCAUUGUAUCCCAGCCCAACCUAUAGAGUGGCAUAUCGUCCGUUUUCUCCCUUCCCCGUCACCUCAGGAUGAUGUUGUGCCAUCCGUCGGAUGGAGGAGGUGAAAGGCACGGAUCUUCACAUGUGCUGACACUUGUCCCGGCGAGGAAACGGGUUAGAGCAAGUACAAUAGCAGCCUAUAAGCCAACUAUAACCACAUAUCGAGAAGAAAAGAGAAGAGAGAGAAGAAAGCGGGCUACAGAUUUGUAGUCAGCUGCAACAUGGACUCCAAGACGUUUUGUGUGUAUGAGAGAUGGGACCGGGUAUUAAUGGUGUAGUAUAUUUUUAUAGGUAACUAUUGUAUGAAUGGGCUAUUAGGUUAUAUAUAGAUGAUUUGGAGCUAACAUUUGGCUAUACUAUUAAACUUACUCUUAGAGCAAGGAUAAUAGUGAACUAUAAGCAAGCUAUAUGCUUAUAUGGAAUAGAGAGAUAAAGAAAAGUGGGAAGUGUUGGUUCUCAUGCAAGAGCUAGUUUCACACAAGCUUCAAGAAAUAUGCAUUAAACUCAAAGUGAGAUAAAGAGAGAGGAUGAAAAAAAUAAAGCUAACCUUAUAGUUAAUCUAUUAUACAUGUUAGCUCUAACAUUGACUUAUAAUAAGUAGUGAAUUGUACUAUUAAACUUGCUCUUAGGGCAAGUACUAUAGGCAUUUUAGGCAUCCAAGCACAGACCCAAGAUACCACAUAGCACUAAGGGCAAGUACUACGGGCAUCUAAGCACAAUCUCCUAGUGCCACAUAAGCUUAAAUAGUGAGGUGGAGGAGAGAAAAAAUGAGAGAGAUAAGGAGCCACCCCUCAUGCAAGAGGCAACUACUACACAAAAUUCAAGACAAAGAGAGCGAGAGAGGAAGAGUAGAUAGGGCAAACAAAUAUUGGGGCUAGUGUAUUAUAAUUAGUAUAGAUGUGAUAUAUUGUACAUGUUACCUCUAUAUUUAUUAGUUGAUGAUGUGGUCAAGAUUAGAUGUAACAUCCACCUCUUUUAUAAAACUUGCCCUAAAUGAUGAGAUGGAGGAGAGAAUAAAGAUAAAAAAGAAAUAGUCACCUCUCAUGCAAGGGGCAACUCCUACACAAACUUCAAUAAAUAUGUGAGAUUGCUAGAAAUAUUGGGGAUGUGUGGUAGAGACAAUCUAUUACACAUGUUACCUCUUAAUUUAAUGGUGUAUGACAUGCAUAAAAUUAGAUGUGGUACUCACCUCUACCAUAAAACUUGCCCUUAGAGCAAGUUUAAUAGUAUAGCCAAAUCAUCUAUAGUCAAUUUAAUAGCUCAUUUAUAUAAUAUAGUUAACUAUAAAUAUACUAUAUCAUUAAUAAUUGGUCACACAUAUCAUACACACGUAGCGUUUUAGAAUCCGUGCUGCAGCUGGCUACAAAUAUAUAGUCCGCUUAUCUUCUCUCUUUUCUUAUCUUCCGUACCGCAGCUGGCUAUAAAUAUAUAGCCGACAUUAUGUUAGGGCCUCAUCGGAUGGAUGUAUGGGCUGAGGCUUUUCAGCCAAAGCCUAUCGAAUUGCUUAUUGGGCUGAGGACUUUAAACCGAAUUGCUUAUUGGACUGAGGACUUUAAGCCUCAAUAAGCCAAAUAAGCCAAUUAAUGGCUUUUCUUUAGCUUAAGGAGAAAAGGUAACUUUGACUAUUCAGCCAAAGCUCUAGGUUAACCGAUGAGGGCAUUAUUGUACCUGCUCUUAACGGGUCCCAGCAAGGCCGACUCCAGAGAUGGGCCUACAGAAAUGGUCGACUGUACAGUGUACACAUGUGUCUAGUGGUUACUCGAAAUAAAGAUUUUGUCGGGUGGUGAUAAUGAUCCACUUAUCUGUGCUCGGCUAGUUGUACAAGUAGGCAUAUUUUUUUUUCUUCAAAACAGCACAAAUACAUGCACUUGUAUAAACAUACACACACUUAUUAUUCUUAAUACACACACUCACACAAGAGAACACACGCACCCAUGAUUCUUAUGUGAGUGUAUGAAGAUUGAACUUGAAUAUCCUGAGAUUUAUAAAAUCACCAUAUAUUACUUGAUAUUUGAUAUUGAUAGGUACGUUGGCUAUCAGUGCUAUAAAUACAAGAUGAUUUGAUAGGUGGCAAAGCGAUAGCGCUAUAACGACCGUGAUCACCUUAACAAAUCAUCUUAGUUGCCUUAUAUAAGGCGCUUCAUCGUGCAUGUGAAAGUCAAAGAUGUAUGUAUGCGUUGUGUAAAGGGCCAGAGAGGUAUCUUUGGAAGCUUUGUUUAUUAAAAAAAAGAUUCAAUGGUUUAAAUAAUAGGUUCAAUGGUUCGAAGGGAAACUAUUUUUUAUUAAAAAAUAGUAUGUUCACCGUUUUAGUUUAAAUUAGUUAAUAUAGACCAUAAAAUGUUAAUUUAUUGAGUAUAUAAUAUAAUGGUGUAGUACAUUAUUUGAAAAUAAUAGUCCAAAGUAAUUAGUUCCCUAAUUUAAAUAAAAAUUAUCUUAUAUUAUUAUUAAUUUAAUGGGUAAAUAUAGUGGUGAAAACUUUAUUAAUAAACAUUGUAGAGCUAAUUAAGUUACACAUUUUUUAAAAAGUUUUAUGAUGAUAUAAUCUUUAUAAAAGUAUGAUUAUUUAAAAUUUAGAGUAAAUUGCACCCACGGUGCAACAACUUGGUAGGUGGGUGCAAUUUAGUGCAAUAACUUGAGAAAUGAGGGUUCCAGUGCAACAACUUGGUAGGAAGGUGCAAUUUAGUAUAAGAACUUUAUAAGUGAUCGUAUAAAUACAACAACUUGCAAGUAGGUACGAUUUUGAUACAAUAAAUUAAGAAGUUAUAUGAUAACUUAAUUUUUUUGGAGCAUUUUAAUUUUUUGAGUAUUUAUUUUGACAAUAUUCUAGCAUGGAUUUGUAUAAUCAUAUUUAUAUAUUUAUCCUAAUAACUAAUAACUGAAAGUUAAUAAAACUGGAUGUAGAAUUAUUAUAUUUCGGUUGAUAUUUGAGAUGGUGAAGAAAGAAAAAAAAUCUUAAAGUUAAUUGGAUGUAAAUUGUAUGUGCAGUAUAAUUCUUAAAGAUUAAAUUCAAUAUUAUAAGGUAAUAUCCGUAGGAAUAUUGUGUAAUGGCAUAUUGACAUCGUGAAAAAACUCACCUAGCAUAUGCUUAGCCAAGUUGAUGCACCAAAAUACUAUAAAUUGUAGUUCUUGUACUAGAAUGCACCCACUUGUCAAGUUGUUGUACUCAAACAUUUAAUUCGCAAGAUCUUGCAUUAUAUCGUACCCACCUGCCGAGUUAUUGUACCAUAGGUGUAAUUUACUCUAAAAUUUAUUAUCACUAUUAAUACGUGUAUCCAUGAAAAAAAAAGGAGAAAAUGUACGUAUGUACCUACCUAUGCAACAGGAGAAGAGGUCGAAUUUUUCCCAUCUAAACACAUGUGGCCCCCUAAUUUCAAAUGUGAGCACGUAUUGUUCAGAAUUCUUUUCUAAUCGAAUUAGUUGGUACAAAGCAAAUGAUCGAUCCAUCAACACGUGUAGCUAGUAAAUUACAGUACCGUGUUAUUUUUUCCCUCCUUGCUGAUGUUGUUUCUAUGUAAAACAAAUUAAUAUUUGUUAGCACAAAUUACAAUUUUGAUGAUCCAAACAAAUGGACUAGAUUUGAGCUUACCGCUGCCGUUCUAAUUUCCUAAACGAAAACUCGAGACUGACGGCAUGAUGACAGGGUGCCCUAUCUCGUAAUGGUUGAUCUAACCUAUUGCUAAUGGUAUUUGGGUUUUCUUUUUCAUAACAAACAGUGUCAAGUAGGCCUAAUAAACAAGCUGCUACGAGCAAGUGAUUUGUCCUAACGAUCAACAGCCCUUUAGUUUGUUACUACUCCCUCCGUCCCGCAAUAUAAGAGAUUUUCAGUUUUUGCUUGCAACGUUUGACCACUCGUCUUUUUUUGCAAAUAUAAAAAACGAAAAGUUGUGCUUAAAGUACUGUAGAUAAUAAAGUAAGUCACAAAUAAAAUAAUUAAUAAUUUCAGAAAAUUUUGAAUAAGAUGAGUGAUCAAACGUUAUAAGCAAAAACUCAAAAUCCCUUAUAUUAUGAGGGAGAGGGAGUACAUUUUGUUGCACAUCAAGUCCGAUGGGACGACCACUGACACACAGUCACACACAUGAGCUUUUGAUUUCAAAUAGAAUUCCAGUCAUUACAUGCUCACAUUUGAAAUUAGACGGUUGCAUGUGCUUAGAUGGGAAAAAUUCAGGGAAUGCCUGAUCUUGGUCUUCGACACAAACAGCAGGAUCCGAUCCCCUUUUAGUUAUUUGGUAGAGCCAAAAUCUGGCUCUACCAAUUCUUUGGUAGGAUUAGACUUCAUAUUAUAUUGUUGGUUCGCUAGCAAUAUCCUCAAUUGGUACAUGGUGAAGAAAGUUUUUGAGUGUUGCCAAAUUGAACGUUUGGGCAUUUUCCAAUGAUUUGGCUCCAAUUUAAACUAACUACUGUUUAAGUUGUUGAACAACUCAUUUGAUAAAUUUCGGUUUAGAUCCAACGCGGUCCAAAAAAAAGUUGAGGAUUGGGCUUUACUUGCACGAAAAAAGUUACUCCCUCCAUUCCAAAAUAAGUUUAUUUUGCAUCCCAUCUGUUUAUCCCAAAAUAAAUUCAUUUUCUAGUAAUCAUUGCAUCGGAGUUUGUAAAAGUAUGGAUAAAUGCAAUGAGAGUAGAUAUAAUAGGAAAUAAUUACAUUGUGAUUAAAUAAAGUUGGGGUAUUCUAGAUUUUUUAUUGAUAUAUGCAAUAUGAGUAAAAAUAAACUUAGGGUUGUGUUCGCUGAGGUAGGUUGAGAACUCAUUCUCUCCGCACGAAAAACAGAGUGGUCCAUUAGCGCGUGAUUAAUUAAGUAUUAGCUUUUUUUUUCAAAAAUGGAUCAAUAUGAUUUUUUAAAGCAACUUUUGUAUAGAAACUUUUUACAAAAAAAUACAUUAUUUAGCAAUUUGAAAAGUGUGCGCGCGGAACACGAGGGAGAGGGGUUGGAAACCCUGAGCAAAGAACACAGCAUUAUUUUAGAACUAAGGGAGUACAGAUAAAGAGAUGCUUGCUCAACACCAAAUUGAUCAUCUCACGGGACCAGGAGUGCACAAAAAGUGGAAAUUUGUAUUAUAUUGAAUUCGGUUGAAUUAAGAAAGGGCAUAAUCGAAAUCAUUUCUUUGAUAUGCCAUAUGCUUUACGAAACUGCAUACACAUCAAGAAAUGAAAAUUGCAUACAUGCAUAAUACAACUACCGGCUGGUAGGUAUAUAUAAAAAGGGACCUUGGAAAACCAACAAGAACAAGUUCCCCAUCUGCUAAGCCUGGCUACGUGAUCUAUGAACCAUCAAAUUCUUCUAGCAGAUUGCAUUACGCGUACUAUAGUUAUAGACCUUUUGUAUUGUUUUGGUGCAAACCCGCAAGAGAAAUCUCGCUCGUAUGUAGGCACGUAGUAAGCUGCCCUGCCCUGCCCUGUCCUGCCCAUCUCUAGCAGAGAAGACAACGACCGAGCAGGGCAGCAGCCAGCAUCACCCACUGAUUAGCCGAUCGAUCAGCGUGUCAUCCCAGGGUACAUCUCCGGCGCCAUGGUCGCCGCCGGGUUUUGCCCUUGCUUCUCCAUGUUUGCGUGCCAUCCUGCACAAAACCAACGAAAUCGUCAUCGUCACGAUCAUCAACACGCACGACAGCCAACCAUUCCAUUAGAAAAUCGAUGGCUAUGCUAUAAACAUAUUUUAACAUAUUUUAAGAAGAUAAAAGAGUAGAGAGACGAGCAGUGGACUACAGAUUUGUAGCCAGCUGCAGCACAGACUCAAAUACGCAAUGUGUGUAUAACAUGUGGGACCAGGAAUUAAUAGUGCAGUAGAUAACUAUUGUAUCAAUUAACUAUUAAAUUAAUUAUAAAUGAUUUGGAGUUGGUAGUUGGCUGUACUGUUAAACUUCCUGUUACCGAGGCUCAUGUCGAAGCCGCGCUUCUUGAGCUCGCGGUACUCCUGGCAGAGGGCGCAGGGCUCGCACCACAAGUGGACGAGGCAGUCGGGGCAGGGCGUCUCCUGCAGGCCGUACUGGGACCGCAGCUUGGAGCGGUAGAUGCAGGAGUAGAUACAGCUGCAGCCCGUGACGAGAAACACCAGCGCGUACAGCGACCCGCUCGUCCCGCACGACGACGACCCCCGGUCGACGAUCUCCGCGAUCUGCCCGAACGUGAUGCACGGGCACAACCACGUCAUAAAACCUGCGCCCGACAACAAUCGAUCAGCACACACGUACCACGCCAAGCAGAGAACACACAAUCGUAGCCCGGCUUGCUUAUUUUACAGUUGCUGCUGUCGUCGAAGCAGUCAAAGAGGUCGGUGGACCAUGGGACGGGGGCGGCCUGGUCCUGCAUGGCGAAGGGUGGUGGUGGUGGUGGCGCCUCCACCGUCCUCCUCCGGCUUCUGAGUAUAUAUAUGCUGGCCCGACGUACGGGGCGCCUUCGUCGAUCCCUCACUCUCCGGCCCGCGAGGGUGAGGCUUUCUCUCCGACGAGGCUAAUGAUGAGCGCGCGGUGUGGUGGUACAAGUAGUAGAGGGUAACCGGCCGAAUCGCGGACUGGUCGUCCGCGCGCAUUUAUCGGGCGAGGCCGCGAAUGUUGGCCUAUCGAUCAUAAUUUUAAGGACGUAACUACGCAUCGGGUGCUCGAUUUAACGCUAAAAAUCGGGUGCCCACCCCUACAAAACAUCAGCUAAACUGGAUGCAUGCACAAAGCCAUGCGCAUAUGCAAAGAGACAUGCAACAAGCAUGGAGGCACUCAAUAGCUGUGCAUGCAAAGUACAUAACUAUAUCUCUCACUCCUAGUAUUAAUAAACAACUUAUUUAACAUGCUCUAAACUUUUUUUCUUAUAAAUUACUUAUCUCAUCUGUGAUAUGAUUACACCGUUAUAUUUGUUACAAUUAAAUAUUUAAAAUAAGAUCUCACACGACUAUAUUUUAAAUUAAAAAUUAAUAUAUAAAUAUAUAACUAAUUGAAACACAUUUAUAUUAUAUAUGAAACAUUAAGUUGCAAUUGUUUAAACAUCACAAAAAACUCCUUGAAAAAUAUCUAAAAAGAAUAUCACAUGCAACAUUCCAAAUAAUUUAGUGAAACAUCACAAAAUACCUACCGAAACAUCCCAAAAAACACACCACGUGCAACAUUCUAAAAUACACAAUGAAACAUCAUAAAAUACCUCCUCAAACUCAAAGAACACCAAGUGCAACAUUUCAAAUAAAGUAGUGAAACAUCAACUAAAACAUCACAAAAAAUACUUCUUCAAACAUUCAAAGAACGCUAUGUGCAACAUUCUAAAUGACCUAGUGAAACUUCGCGCCGUUUAAGUAAUCCAUUGCAACAAAAAAACAUUUAAAAUAUUUUUGUCAGAAUAUAAUCAAGUAAGAUUUUAUUGUGAAGAAUUAAUUAUAACAAAUACAACAGUGUAAUCGGAUCUCAGAUUAUUAGAUAAUAAUCUGUGAAAGAAGAUUAUUUGAAGUUAUGGAAUAAGAAAGUAUAAGUAUGUAGUAGGAGCAUAUGGAUACAGAGGGUGAACUUAAUUGUACACGUUACAUGUAUCAUGGCAUCACCAAUAUAUAUAGCAAAAGUGAUUCAUAUAGAUAGGAUCCACAUAAAUAAACUUUAACUAUAACAAUCCUCACAAUGUAUAUAGAUAAAAGGUAGCACUAAGAGAAGAUAGAAGUAGAGACAAAUAAUAUUAUUUAUUUUAUAUGGGUAGCCUAUAUGGUUUUCUUUUUUACUUUUUAGUCCUUUUUUUAAAUUAAAAAAAAGACCUUUACAAAAAAUAUUUCUAAAAACUGAAUCUUUUGGCCCGAUUGGCUGCCACACCAGUUGCACGGUGUGACAAAGUUAUUUGGCUGGCCAAAAGGUUCAGAUUUGGAAAUAUUUAUUUUGGAAGGUCUAUUUUUAAAAUUUAAAAAUAAAAAAAUAUUAGUCCAUAUGCAUAUGGGUAUCUUUUGUUAUUUUCUUUAAAUGGACUAGUUGCAUAAUAGUAUUAGGUGGUUGAAUAAAAUAUUGUAUUGCCUAUAGAUCACUUUUGCACCACAUUGUGGAUGCCCUUAAGUAGGAGAGAAUAAAACUACACUCUAUAUGAUUUUUGAUGGGUACCGGCUCAAAAGCAGUGGCCUUGAUCUUCUUUCCUGGCUGGAAAUUGCAGUCAUGAAGGCUUAUCUCCCGCUUCUUAUUGAAAGCAAAUAAUAAGAUCAAAACAGAUUCUAGGGAUUGCGUUCGUUGGCGGACUCAACCUGACAUCUUACGACAUGAACUGCUCCCAAAGAGGGAGGCCUAAAUAUAGUUUUUUUGGAUGGAAUCUUUGGCGUCAGCCUAUAGGUUUUCUGGUUUUUCUAAUUUCUUCUUUGGCGGAAUGUGAAAGAUUACCCUUUGAUUUACCAGAAGCGGAGGAAGAAUUAGUAGCAGGUUAUCAAACCGAAUAUUCUGGUAUCAAAUAUGAUUUAUUUUAUCUUGUUUCUUACCUAAAUUUAUUAGUUUCCUCUUUAUUUGUAACAGUUCUCUACUUAGGCGGGUGGAAUUUGUCUAUUCCCUAUAUAUCCUUUUUUGGAUUUUUCCAAAUGAAUAAAAUGGUUGGAAUUUUAGAAAUGACAAUGAGUAUCUUAUCAGAAAGAUAGGCGGACGACUUGACCAUAAGGUCGGAUGUUUCCGUGAGCAGUAAGCUGCGGAUCUCCCCUUUUUUGGGGGAAAGCUGGUGGCCCUUUUGGCGUGUUAAUUCUUUCGACGGGGUGGCCUUCUUCGUUCGGUAGAUCCGGUCGAGGUGGUUUUCGUUUACCAGCGCGUAGGUGGUCUAAGUUCCUAUGACCGAGUCUUUCUGGCCCCUGUGAACAUAUUUUCUUAAUGUAUUAAAGAGGGCCUCUCUAACCGGUGAAAAGUGGUAGGUGUCCACUAACGGCUAUUCCUGGCUCGGCUCCGAUAACGCAAUUCCGGGAGGAGUCGGUAGUUAGGCACUUGAUCCCUUCGGACCUGGAGAACGUGUGACACUGGGUCGGGGUUUGGUGAACCAACAGGUCGCUCCUUUAGUUGAAGUAUUGGGCCCCUUUUUCGUUGCCUAGGUUACACCUUCGGAAUACCCCAGACGGGGAUUGAGCUCUAUUCCCCCCAAUCUUCACUUUACGCCAUGCCGACUCUCCGUCGUGGAAUUAGACCAAGGGUCGAAGACCCAUACCAUAGGACCCCAUCCCCCGUAUCUUAUCUUUCGCGCGUAGGAGAUCGAGACACAGCCUUAGGGCUAUGGGGAAAGUAGAUCGAUUGCUCUAGAAUUACAACUACAUAGAGGGUCUCUACAAGUCUAUAAAGAAGUUUAAAAAAAUUGAUAGACACUGUUUGAUGGUGCAUGCUGCAUGCAACACAUAACCGGAGUAGGAGGACGUCCGAUUUUUUCAAAUUGGGUCGAACACCCGACCUUAAUCGUUCUCCUAAUUUUUCAAGUGGAUAAUUGCAUUUGUUUGGACUCUCGCUGAACCAAUCAUGAUGCAGUGCGGGCCUGGUCGCGCCCACGGUGUUCACGUGGGUGGCGCGGGCUCUGCAUGCGGGAUAGCACGACGGGUGGCUACGGUUGUACAAGCUUCAAUAAACGGUUUGGAGUCAGUUGCAAUACAAGCUUCAAUACAAGAGAG